RNAcentral lists this long non-coding RNA (73641 nucleotides) under Gossypium barbadense (sea-island cotton). RNAcentral's name for it is "long non-coding RNA (GBAR_LNC005491)". The record is from RNAcentral. Lineage: Eukaryota; Viridiplantae; Streptophyta; Magnoliopsida; Malvales; Malvaceae.
AGGAUAAGUAGGCGGCUUAGCUGGAGAAGGCGAUGGUGGAGGAUAUGUCGGUGGAUGCACUGGUGGCUUAGUCGGGGGCGCAGUUGGCGGCUUAGUUGGAGGAUAAACUGGUGGCUUGGGUGGAGGGGCGUAAGUUGGUGGCUUGGUCGGUGGCUUGGGCGGAGGAGCGUAAGUUGGCGGCUUGCUGGGUGACUUGGGUGGAGGAGCGUAAGUUGGCGGCUUGCUGGGUGACUUGGGAGGAGGAGCGUAAGUUGGCGGCUUGCUUGGUGACUUGGGUGGUGGAUAAACUGGAGCAAUCUUGGGUGCUUUGGGUGGGGGGUAAACAGGUGGGUGAGUUGGGGGCUUAGUAGGGGAAGGGGUUGGCUGGUGGGGAUGCGGAUGCGGAUGCGGAUGCGGAUGCGGAUGGGGAUGGUGAUGGUGGUGGUGGUGGCUUGGUGGGUGAGCAGGUGGCACUACAGGCGAAAUUCCAUGGUAAUGAGGAGGCAAAGCCUCAGGCAAGAUCUGAGAAGACACCGUGAAGCUACUCAGUACGAAAAGGGAAAGGUGCAGGAGCAAGGCAGCUUUAGUUGCUACUGCAAACCCCAUAUUUUGCUUAAAGCUUAGCUGUAAGAGACUUGAAGAGAGGUGGUGAAGUUAAGUCCUUCUAAGAACUGCAUUUAUAGGGGUUAAGCCGUGAUUCUCUGCGGUUUUUAAUCAUGAAAAUCUUGUUUUACAAUAGAGUGAGGGAGUGGGGUUAGGGCCCUAAUAGUAAUUAAAAAUCUAUUCAAUGUACGGGUUAAUCAGAAUCCAUAAAAUUUACACUUAUGAAAAUAGGGUUCAUGACCUUAAAUGCAUAAACCAAUUUAGAAUGGUUUUUCAGCAGGACAUUAUUAUAUUGAGUGAUUGAUUCAAUUUAGCUUUAAUUUUGUAGCCAAGUACUUGGGCAUGGCACAUGCAUGCAGAAGAAAAAUGGAAAUUCUACCCAUACAUACAUACGGUGCAAGAAAAUGUAGAAGUUUCCAAGGACUUCGUGUAGUGGACCCUUUUAUAAAAUUAGAUUUAUUCCAUUAAAUAAAAGAUUAGGCCUCUAAAAUUAUGAAGCUUGUUCCUUUGGUUAGGGCAAUCAUAGAGUAGGCUUGAACGUUGAACAUAAAAGGAAGAUAAAGUUGAUGUCUUUAGGGUAAAAUGAUAGGAAUCCGAGCUGCCUUGGAUGAGAAUAUUGUCCUUUUCAAGGUUUUUUUUUUUUUAAACUUUUUCUAACACAAUAAUGGUUCAAUAUCAUUUUCAUUUUCUAGAAAUAAAUGUUUAUUAUUUUAAACUAUAUUUAUAAUAUUAUAUACAGCAAGCCAGGUGCUGGGCUGGCAGUACCGAAUUUCAUGAAAAAAAUUUUAUUCAAGUUUUUUAAAAUUUUAAAUUAACAAAAAUAAAAUUAUAUUUUAACUCUUUAAAAAUAAUAAAAUUUUAAUUUAAUUUUUUAAAAUUUAUAUUUUUACUAUUACAUAAGUUACAAUUUAAUUUUAGCUCCUAAAAAAAUUUUAUAAUUCUUCCUGCAACAAGCUUGUUCAACCUUAAAUCAACUGCUAUUGUUGUAAUUAUAAAAAAAAAAGAGAGUUUCCUCUGAUUUAAAAGUUUCAAAGUUGUAUCAAAAAAUAUUAUAUAAAACAAAACAGAUCAAUUGAAAGUGUGCUCACUUUUGCUUUUGUAAAGAUUUUCCAAGUCACAUUUUUAACCUUGGUAUAGUUUUUUUUUUUAAGAUUUAUUUUGGGUAUACAUUUAUUUAUUUUUUAAAUUAAUUUCAAUUAUACGUUUGAAAGCGUAAUUGUUAUAUUUUUAGUAUUUAAAAUAUGUUUUAUAUAUUAAUAUUAAAUUUUAUAAACAAUUUAUAUUAAUUACUUAAAAAUAUUAAAAAUUUAUAUUUUUAUAUAACAAUUUAUUUUUAUAAUUUUAUUACAAUUGAAAUUAAUAUUUUCAUAUUCAGUGUUAUUUGAAAUAGGCUGAAACUUAUUUGUAUAUUAACCCAAAAAUAAGAAUUGAACCGAUCUUUAAGUGAAUUACUUGAAAUUAGUAAAAAUUAAAAGUCAAAAUAAAUUUUUUUUACUAAUUUAAUUGAUUUUUAUAUUUUUUAAACAAUUUAUUUUUAUUUUAUAAAUUUUUUAAUUAUUUAUUUUAUUAUUAUUAGAAUGACAACCGAACUAAUUAAAUUAAGAACUCUCGGCUCAUUCGACAAAUGGAUAGGUUAUUAUAAUAUUGUUUCAUAUAUUAAAUUAAGGCAAAUAAAUUAAUAAAACAAAUUACAUUGAGAGAGAGCAUAUGGGAAUGGGAGCGGAGUCAGUGUGGGGAAAAGAAGAAAAAAAAACCACUGCACCUUCGCCACGUUGCUAUCUCUAAUAAGGAAACUCUUGUGACGAUAAAAAUAGACAUGGGAAUGCAAACAAAAUAUUGGGCCAACGGUUCUUUCUUCUCACUUUUUAUAAGGACAAGAUUUAAAUAGAUUAGAGGUUCUAUUAAUUAAACAACCAUUUUGUUCUACAUCACACGUUUUUUAAUUAUGGGUAUUUUUUUUAUCAAUUUAUCAUCCAAUUAAGUAUUUCAUCGAGAUUAUUUUUUAUCAAUUUUUAUUAAUUGUAUUAACAGGAGAAUGAUGUGACUACUGAAAAACUAAUAUAAUAAUAAAUUUAAUUUUCCAACUUUUAGGUAUUAUAUAAUUUAGUUUUAAAAAAUUAAUACUCAAAUUUUACAAAUGAUUUUAAUUCAUCCUAAUUCUAAUUUGUUUUUAAAAAAAUACAUAUAUAUUUUAAAUUUAUAUAUUAUUAAAUUUAAAUAUAUAUAAAUAUUUUUAAAAAUAUAAUAAUAAUUUUAUAUUUUAUAUUAAUAUUAAUAUUAAUAUUAAAUUUAAAAGAACCCUCCCCUCCACCAAUUCUAUGGCUCUAUAUUUUCCAAUGAUUGGAUGCUUGUCUUCUUCUCCACGUCUUCUAUCAUUUCAUUGUUCAAGCUCUCCUCUCUUGACUCAGGUUUAAUAGGCAGAUGCGUUCUGUACUGAUGUCUUGAUGCAAGGAUAAGAAAGACCAAUAAAUUUAUAAAUCCCAACACUGCAAAUAACCAGUAAAUGUUAUUUAACUUUCAUUUAUUCAGAUUGGUCCUUAGCCAGCUCUUUUUAGUCGCAUGAUCCACGAUAUACACAAAUAAACUGCCCACAAAGAACCCCAUUGAAAUGGUGGUAAGGAAAAGCCCUGCGCUCAUGGAUUUCAUUCGAUCUGGUGCCUCUCUAACAAAGAACUCAAGUUGUCUAACAUAAGCAAAAGCUUCCCCGCAAACCUAGGACGAAGAAUUCAAUGAAGAGCCAAGAGGCUCUUAGUUUGACUUGUUUUUACGCGUAUAAAUUUUAGUUUUACUAUAUUUUUUUGAAAAUAUUUAUUUAUUUUUAUAUAUUUUUAAAUUUUAUUAUUUAUUUUUAAAAAUUGUUACACAUUUUUAUAUAUUUCUUUGAUUUUUUUACAAUUAGAAUAAAUUGAGACCAUUUGUAAAUUUUAAGGGUUAAUUUCUUAAAUUUGUGACUAAAUCGAUAUGAUAUGUAAAAUUUGAGGGUUAAAUUUAUACUAGUUUUUCAAUUACCACGCCACCCUCUCGUUAGUGCCAUUAACAGGAAUAGACAAAAAAAAAACAAUCUCGAUUAGUUAGGACCAAUUGUAACAUCCCAAAAAUCGGGUUAGAAGAUAUUGAGUUAGUGGAACGAAGAGUGGUUACGUCCCGAGUUUGAGUUAAGGUUGUGAAAUUAUGAUAAGUGAAUUAAUUUGGUUUAGUGGCUAAGUGUUGUGUUUGUAUGUGCUAGGUUCUAGGUUUGAAUCAUAUUUCUUGAAUUUUUGUUACUUUGCCUAAACCCUUAUUUUUGAACAUUUGGUUUAUAAGUUAUUUGUGUUCAACUAAUGUCAAGAUGAGCCUAGUGGUUUAGUGAUUAAGUUCUUGUACAUCUUUUAGUUUUAUGUUCAAGUUUAUGUGAAAGCAAUAAGAAGAAAAAACAAAAAUCACGUUGCCUUUGAGAGUUAGUUUUUUUUUUAAACUAACCAAAAGUCUUCUUUCUAAAAUAUUUCUUUUCACGUUUUGUUCUUCCAACAUUCUGCUGUUACUUUCUUCUUCCUUUCUGUUCUUUUUUUCCUUUUUAUUUCCUUCCGCUAAUUUUGUUGUUAUUCUAUCGAGGGAAUUGCAUAUUUCACCAUUUUUUAUUGAAAGGUUAAUUGCAUAAGUUUUGUUGUCAAAGCUCUAUUAAUGUUUUUCUCAUUUGUUAUUUGUCGAAACUAAAUUUUUUUGCUCGUUUUGUCCAAUUUCGGUUUUUGAGGAUUCAAUUGGUUCUCUUUCUUAAGUGAAUGGGUUGCAUAUCAAGAUCCUCCAUCGAUUUAAGUAUUUGUGUUACAGGAUACGAGCGAGGGUAAGCGCUGAAGUUCGAUUUGGGGUUUUUGGGUUGAAAUUUUUCGACGAAACUUUUGUAGUAAAUAUGUUAGUUAUUGAAUUAGUUAUGAAAAUCGUUUGAUCAAGGUUUGAUUAUUGUUUUUAGGGUUCAAAAUUCAUCUUUGUUGCUUCUACGUCAAAAUAAAACCAGGUAUGUACUGAAAGCUGAGAAUUUUACAAACGAUGAAAGCUAAAAUUCGCGAUUGCCAACGCCACAUGACUGUGUGCCAGGCCAUGUGGUAGGCCAUGUAACUUUCUAACUUGGGUCACACGAAUGUGUGUCCAGACCGUGUAAAGGACUAUUUUGAUUUUGAGUCAUACGGGCAAAUGAUACAAGCGUGUGUCUAGACCUUCUGACUCUCUGACUUGUUCCACACAAGCAUGUGCUAAGCCGUGUGGGCCACACGGGCAUGUGUUAAGCCGUGUGGGCCAGCCAUGUAGGUUGUGUGGAUCCACACGGCUGUGUGGGCCAAAAAUCAAUUUUUUCCCUAUAGCCAUAAACGUCGUUCGACUCAAACGUAAGCCUUCCAUGGGGUCCGUAUGAUUUGAAACAAGCUAUAAAACUUAAUUUUUGAUGAUUUGUUGAUGAAUAAUUCAUUAUCUGUACAUAUGUCUGAUAUGAUAUAAGCUAAGUAUACAUGAUCUGUUAACGUAUAAUGUGUGAUAUCUGAAUAACUUUUUGUGUUUGAUAUUGAUUUUGAUAUGUACCAUGCAUGUGACUUUAUGGGAAUUAUGUUAUGAUUCAUUAAGAUUUGAUCAAUCUGUUUGCAAAGCAUGGAUUUCUAUGCCUUCUAUUUCUGUUAUUAUACAACACCAUGUCCAACAUGCUUAGCAUUCUAAUUUUGUAUUCAUGUCAUGACACAUUCCAUGGGUCCAGGAUGAUGUGAAAGGAAGAAGUUUCUUGUAGUUCAAUAAUCUACAUUAUUUGGUGGUUUAUCCACAAUUCUAUUUGGCAGCUUGUCUUCAACUAUGGUGGCUUGACCACAUACAUCUAUUCUAGCAACUUGGCUGCAACAUAGUGGCUUGACCACAUAUAUCUGAUUUGGCAGUUUUAACUACAAUUCUGGUGGCACUGUCUCCAAUUAUCUAUUGGUGUGAUUUGGUUGGAUAAGUUCUGGAGAAAUUCUAAUUUUGUGUGUAGCGGAGUUAGGUAGAAUAUUUUCUGAUAAAUCUGCAUUCCGAUUUUCUGAAAAAUACCGCAUUGACAUAAUCAUACAUUCUUUAUUCCAUUAUACUAUCGUUAUGAAAAUCUUUGUGACAUCUGAUUUGUUCUGCUCUAGUUAUAUGAUCGUUAUGAAAUUAUCUACGUUACUCUGAUUUGUGUAUGAUGUUUUAUUUGAUCAUUGUUUAAGUUUAGUUAUACACUAAGCUUCAUAGCUCACUCCUUUGUUUUAUCUUUGUCUGUUCAGGUAAACCUAUGACUUAGGACUAGACGGCGUGUGGGAGCUCGGAUUAUUUUUGUAUUUAAUGUAAAUAUGGUGAAUUUAGUAAUUAUUUGUUUUGAUCUUUUGGGUUUGUAAUUUUUUUCUGAACUCGUUUUGGAUUUUGCUUAAUUCGUCAGUAAUUGAUAUUUUCUAAUGCGAGACUGCAAAAUCACUUAAGUCGACAAAACAGAUUUUGAUUUUCAAAACUAAAACUCCAAAAAGGGUUUUUCGCUGCAAAUUAAGUAAUUUCUUAAGUGGUUUUUGAAAGCGAAUAAAUAGUUUUCUAAUGACUAUUUGUGAAAGUCAUAUUUGCUUAACACUUACUGAAAUCAGUUUUCCAAGUGAGUCAAUGUAAUUUCUCCAGAUUCGAUUAUAACUUCUAGACUGGGUUUAAGGUGUUACACCAAUUAAAAAAAAUCAUAGUUAGGUGACCAAAAAAGAAAAUGAUCCAUAAUUAGGUGACAUGUGGUGUAGUUUACCCUUUCCUUAAAUUAUAAGUUAUAAAUCUCAAAACUAUACAUGAACUUUAGUCUAAUGUGCAAUUUUAUAAAUAAAAUUUUGGUUUGAUUCAAUUCUCACUAAUUAUUAGCAUAAUUAUUGAUAUAGCAUCAUUUAUGUGGAUUGAAUUAUCAAUAUAUGUUGAAAAACAAAAAAAAAAUUAAGUAAAUGUGUUUUUUUUAAUUUACUGAUCUAUAUUGUUUUUGGAGAGAAAAAGUAAAAUGCAUCCUACAGGACACGCUAUCAACCACGUCAACUGAAAACGCAACUUGAAUGCGUUUUCACUGAAAGUUGACAACUCGGUUCUUUUGGUCAGAUGGUUAAAUGUUAGUGCUUUUGUCAUUAAGUUAUGAGUUUAAUUUUUCUCCUACUCACAUUUGUAUUUUUUACUUCAUGUUGUUUUAAGUUUUUUUUUUAAUUAAUAUUUUUUACACAUUAGCUAUUUUGGUUAGAUGGUUAGAUAAUUGUGAAUUCGUCUUUGAAUCUAAAGUUCAAUUCCUCUUAUAAGCAUUUUAAUAUGUAUUUUUUAUUUCAUGUUGUUUCAACUUUUUUAUUGUUUGUAAUUAAUGUUUAUAAUUAAUAAAUAUAUAUUUUUUAAGGUUUUUUUAUUUUUAAUUCAUCUUUUUAAUUAAUAACUCUUUUAUUUAUAAAAUCAAAUAAUUAUUGUAAAUACCAUUACUUUUAGUAAAUAUAUAUUUUAUAUUUGUAAUAUUUAUCUUUUAAUCCAUAUCCUGAGUGUAGUAAAUUGACAUAUUAUAUAUUUUUAUAUGUGUAUUUGAAAUAAUUAUUUGAAAUAUUUCACUUAUAAAAAUAUUUUAAAUAUCAUACCCACAAUGUAGAUGAAAAAACAAUGAUAUUUGAAAUAAUUAUUUGAUUUUAUAAUACUAGAAAUCACCAGACCCCCAUAAUAUACAUGGAGAAAAUAAAUAUUUGACAUAUAAAUAUUAUAUAUAAAAAUAUAUAUCUAAAUAAUUAGUUACUAUUUUUAAAAAAUAAUUACAUAUUUAUUAUUUAAUUUUAUAGAUAAAAAAGAUAUUAAUUAAAAAUUAAAAAAAUUGAAAACAAUAUAUUUAUUAAUUAUAAAUAUUAAAUAAUAAUAAUAAAAAGCUUGAAACAACAUGAAAUAAAAAAUACAUAUUAAAAUGCUUAUAAGAGAAAUUGAUCGUAGAACUCAAGGAUGAAAUCACAACUAUCUAACCAUCUAACCAAAGAAGCUAAUGUGUCAAAAAUAUUAAUUAAAAAAAAAGCUUAAAACAACAUGAAAUAAAAAAUACAAAUGUGAAUUGGAGAUGAAUCGAACCUAAGACUUAAGGACAAAAGCAUUAACAUUUAACCAUCUAAUCAAAAAAGCUAAGUUAUUAAUUUUCAGUGGAAACAUAUCUUGUAGGACAUGUUUUCAGCUGACGUGGCUGAAAGCGCACCCUUUAAGAUGCAUUUUCAAUGAUAUGAGUGAAAACGCGUUUCUCUCUCUCCAAAAACAACAUAGAUCAGUAAUUUUUUUUAAAGCACAUCUACUUAAUUUUUUUCUUUUUCAGCAUAUAUCAAUAAUUUAGCCUUUUAUGUUUCUAUAUCCAAUAUAUAAAUAAAUUGAUGUAUUUAUUUCUUUAAAUGUGUAUGAUUGAAUAAAAUUUACAGUUUCAUGUAUACAUUUGAAUCAUAACCAAAUCAAAGUUCAUUAUCAAAUUGCACAUUGAAUCGAAUUCAUGUAUAAUUUUGAAAUUUAUUCCAAAUUAUAAUGUAAAAUAAGUUUUGAUUGAACCAAAAAGAUAUUAGAGGUCUUUAUACUUUUUAAAAUUUUAAUUCUCUUAUUUUAAUUUUGAGAAGUUGAAUCUAUAUUUUUUAUAACUUUAUUUGUAAAAAUGUUAGGUAUAAAUAAAGCGCAACUAUGCAUGAAAGGAAUCUACACAUGGAAAUGGAAGUAAAUGAGAAGAUUUUUUUAAAGAUUACAAAAUCAAUCAAAUUAUAUAUAAUUAUACGUUAGAGCAAUCACAAAGUGUAGAACUAAACUAUUAUAGCACAAAUUAAGAACUAGAACAAAGUGUAGAAUCAAACAUUGACAAUCGAAAAUUGUGGAGUGUGUCUCGUAUUACUAGACACUUUGCAGGUACUUAAGAAGACAGUCAAUUAUUGACCUAGGAAGAGCCAAAGCAAGCACAACGUCACAACGAGGAGAACAUCGACGUCAUGAAGAGGAGCGACGUCAUGACGAGGGAAGUGUGGACAUCAUGACGAUGCGACAAACUUCUAACUUAAGUCAAUGACAACAGCGUGACAAGCAUGUAUGGGACAUCACGGUGAUGCAACGUAUUCUCCACGUAAGUAGCCAUGUUUUUUUACUCCAAAUAGGACUUCUUCUUCCAAUCAAACUUUAAUUACUUCAAGGUUAUUUAAGACAUUUUUCCUUUAGUUUUGAGCCUAUUUAAAGGGCCAAUGUAACCCUAAUUUGAUGUACCAAUUAAGAUGUAGCUACAUGCGCCGCGUAAGAGAGCUCAGAAGCGAGGGAAAUUAAGAAGGCAAUUAAUGAUGUAGUAUUACAGGGUUUUUCUUUUGGGGGCAACAAGAUGUAAUUGCAGAUGACUUUUGGUGAGAGUUUUCAUGGUAAUUAUGCAGGGAAUUUUUGUACCCCUUUUGAGAGAACUCUAUGGGAGUUAAUGCUUGAUUUUCAGUGUUUGGGUUUCUACGUGGUUUACUCAUUUCAUGAAAAGCCGAAGCUUCAUUUGCCUGUGGUUUUUAUCCUCUUCGGAGGAGUUUUUUACUUAAAAUUUAUGUGUUUAAUCUUUUUCACUUUUUAUGUUCAUUGCUUAUACAGGUUGAUCCCUAAUAAAUUGGUAUCGAAACAAAGCUAUGUUUCUACAAUUGACCCAUUCAGAGAUGGCAACAAUGAAUUUCGAUAUUGAAAAGUUCAAUGGAAUCGCUGAUUUUAGAUUGUAGCAGAUUUGGAUAAAACAGAGUGUUUAAAGCAAGGUCGGUCGAAAAGGGUGACAUUCAAGUGAAGGAAGUUGAUUUACUCAAUGUUUUCUCUCUUAUUGUGAAGUAGAUGUCAGUUUAUGUAUCACUGACCCUUAUUGCAUUAUACAGCCUUCAUUUGAAGAUUAUGAGUUUUUUGGUUUCCAAGUUCGAGAACGAUUUGGGCUUGGUUGACAUUCUGCAAAGAUUGAGUUUGGCCCUUGACAGGGCCUGAAUAAUAAGGUGUGGUAAAUACGAGUCAAUGUGAAGAUUUGUAAGGUGUGCCUCGCAUUUAUUGGAUAGCUUGCAGGCACUUAUCAAAGUCAACAAACGGCGUUACAAGGAGAUGCUUCCUAACGUUAUGAUGACAGACAACAUCGUAAUGACGCAAAUGAGAACUUUGCGACGUUUAUAAACACUGAGUUUCUUCUCCUAUUUAAACUCUGCUAUCUUUUUCGAGUCAAACUCUGAAUACUCUAGGGCUAUUUUAGUAUGAUUAGAACUCUAAGCUUAACCUAUUUAAAAGGGUCAUUGUAUCCCUAUUUUGUAAGGUAAUUAAGGAUGCAGUACUAUAUGGCUUUUCUUUUUGCCCUACAUUCUAGUUCUUCCUUCAAACCUAAAUGUUUUCUUCUUCUUCUUCGUUAAGGUAGAGCUAAGAUUUCAUUUAAUCAAUGGAUGAUUCGACCUUCUGAUAAGUCUUAUAGUUCUAUAUGUUACGAAUGUUACAGAAUAAGGAUGUAAGAACAGUAGGAUGUGAGUGAAAGGCAUUGUUUGGGGUCGCAUGUAGUUGACACAUUAGUAAACUAUUUGUAAAUAAAGAUUCUAAUAUAAAUUCCAUGAUUUUUAAAGUAAUUGUUGCUAUUGGAUCGGGACGAACAAUCGAAAUAGAAGUUUUAGACUGAGGUAAAGGUGAGUCUCUAGGCUCGUCACCUACACGUUAUAUUACAAUGAUUCUUUACAUGAUUGACGUCUAUAUAGAUAAGAAUACCUUCUUUAAGUUGCAGUAUGCAUGUAUUUUGUGUAUUUUCUGUGAAACACUUGUAUGUAUGUACUGAAGUGUAUAGUGCAUGAAUAUGACAAUAUGUGGUAAGCAUGCAUGAGAAAUUAUGCGUUAAAAAAUAUGAUUAUGUUAAGAAUAUGAGCAAAAUUUGUGUAAACGUGUUCAUUAUGUUAUUUGAGUGAUGCAUGACCAAGUAUGGUUGGUAAUAAUGGGCUUUGGUGGAGUGUCAGAAAAGUAUGUGAUAGGAUAAUAAACCUCACAGUGGUGCUUUGAUAAUGUCUGCCAGGACAUUAAACAUAAAGGUCAGUAUAGAGAAAUGUAGUCUAUCGGGGCCGUAAACACAAGGCCCGUUAGGACAGUAAAAAUGAUAAAAUUUCAGUAUAGCAGAUAUGUGAAAAGACUAUGGCCAUGACACAUUUUGGGAAUGACAGAUAAGCCACAUUUGUCUACUAAGGUUUCUGCGUAUCUCGGGGGUGAUGAUGGGCAAACUUCAGGUGAUGUUAAGUUUAGGAAAAUCUAUAUCGUCAAACACAAAAGUUUAUGUGGUGCUUUGGUGGCAAACGAAACCAAACAUUUGUGGCGAAUUAUCUGAAAAGCCUUUUUGGUGAGUUAUCUGUAAAGCCUUUAUAGUGAAUUAUCUGAAAAGCCUUUGUGGUGAGUUAUCUAAAAAGCCUUUGUGGCGAAUUAUCUAAAAAGUCUUUGUGGUGUAUUGUAUGGAAAGCCUGUAUAACGGAUUUUGUAACACCUAAGUGGCGAGUGGUUAGACCACCUUUGCAGUGAAAUCUGGGUAUACAUUUGAAUAAUUUUCUGAAUAAAUUCUCAGUAGUGUAUCUAAUCGAGGAAUCUCCUUUAGUAAUCCACCAGGACAGAGAAUUUGGUGUAUCCGGAGGUACAGUGGGGUAAAAGUUCGCUGAACCUGGACAUUUUCAUGUUAUGUAUCAAAGUUAUUUGAAAUUCUAUGGGAUGAUCUAAAAUAAUACAUUCAUCCGAGUAAGUACAUUUGUUUGGAUUAAUUUGAAGAUUUGCUGUGAACAGCGUUUUUACAGUUGCCAAAGUUAAUAGGAGAUUCAGUUAAGAGUAGCAUCCAUAUAAAUAUCAUUAUGAGGAGUGUAUAUCCAACAACUAUCUUCAAAAAGAUUGUGUAAUAGGAUUCGAACUAUGGUGUGAAGUCUGUGAUCCGCCAGUCAAUUAAAUUGUCUAUAAAGUGUUCAAGUGUAGAGAUUGGCGUAUAGUUAUCUGCCAACCAGAAAUCAGAAAAGUUUUGGCCAAGGUUUGAAAGAAAGUCCAAUAUCUUAAAGUCGAUGAUUUCUUCAGUGGUGUUAAAAGGUAAAAUUGGUUGAGACUCAUUAAGUUCCAUUAAACUUAUGAGUGUUUAUUUGUAAUGCAGGUUUUUGAGUUGAACCAGUUUACCAGAAGGGACCAACUCAAGAAUGUGCCAAGGUGGUUAAUCAUAGUGCGAUAUUAUGCAUACAAAAGGAUACUUUUGGGAAUAUGUUUUCAAAUGGCGAAUUGUAACACCCCAGACCCGGCCUAAACGUUAUGGCUGAAUCUGGUGAUGUCACAGGAAAAAGCUUUUGAAAACUAAGUCAUUAGAUAAACCAUUUCUCUUUCUAAACAAUUUUUGUUAUCUUAUAUUAUCAAGUUAUUUGGUUCUAAAACAUUUUCCAUUUAUUUACAAGUCUUUGUAAUUUGCGGAAGUUUUUAAAACGGUUUACAUAUUGGUGAGUGUUUUGAAAGAAAACAUUUGUAACUUUUGAAAACCUAUGUUUUCCUACCACUAGUGAUUACGAAUCAUAAGCAACAAUAAAUAAAUCCAAAAUUAAGGUAAAAAUCCAUAAAGGUCUUAUUACAAUAAAAACACCCCAAAUAAUAAUACUUAAAACCAUAAUCAAAUACAAAAAUUUAUGCGGUUGUGCGGCCACCUCUGAGUCCCUCGCUGUACCGGUCCACCUAUGACUGAGGAUUACCUGCACAGUAAAACAUAAGGGGUGAGUUUACUAAAACUCAGUGCGUAAUCCCCAUGUAGUUAUACAGUCGAAAUGAAACAGUAACAGACUGAGCCUAAGCCCUUCAUAGUAACAACAUCGUUUUGGGCCUUAGCCCAUCACAUCUCAGUAAUUAGUUGGGCUACAGCCCAUCACAAAAUCAGUAUGCAGUAGCAGUAAUACGGUUUACAAUAUGCAAGUCCUACCCAACCAUUCGCUAUACACCAUCUCCUGUCCAACCUUGCAUUCUUGUGGGGAAUAAAUCGCCCACCGAUCCUUACACUUACAAAUUAGCAUCGGUUGCGGCACUAAAUAGUAUUUGCAGCAGAAUUUCCAGUAUAUUAGGCUUAGAGCCAUCAGUGAUUUGUAGCAAAGUUGCCAGUACAGUACACUUCCUCCAAUCAUAUUAUCCCAACCCCAUGUAGUGCAUCAUACAAUCAUGACAUGACAUGCCAUCUCAUGAAAACAUGCAUAUAAUCAGAACAAUAUAAAUAUUAUGCUUAGUAUACAGUCAUACAUAUUCUAAUAGCACACAGUCAGUUAAGGAUCUAGGUAAAGCUCACCAACCCCAUAGUAGGUCCACAGUGAACUCAGGCGACUCAUGCAACCUUAGUAGCCAAAUAGUGAAAAUGGGCUCAUAAACCCAUGUAACUAUCCCAUAUAGGCCCACACGCUCGUAUGACCUACAAAGCCUAAAAUGUCCUUAGCCAUGUAGAUCACACGGCCUGGCCUAAUAAUCUCACACGCCCGUGUGGUUCAUCCGUGUGAGGCCCAGACGCCGAAUUUGGCCUGGCCCAUGAAUCGUACAUGACCAGCCUCGUCGAUCAUACGCCUAUUUCGUCACACAACCUACCACACGGGCAGUCGCACGCCCGUGUGGCAUUGACGAUUCCCACCUUUUCAAUUUACAGGGUUGUGUUUACACAUCUGUCAUGAAUUCGAUGUCGAAAACUCCCUAAGCCCGAAUAUUUAUCAAGGGUCAUUCAAAACUGAUUAGUACCUAUUAAAGGUCAUUCAAAACCAAUUAGUAGUUUAAUUCACAGGUCUUAACAAUCGUUAAUAGUAUUAGCUUGACCUACCUCCAAGAAGACCCUUCGUUAAUGCCAUUAAACCAAGAACCACGAUUACCUAAGAACUUUCCUUUAGCCAAAAUAACUCCACUUAGUCAGUUAAAGCUGUGUUAAAUCAAAAUGUACAACCAAACCCGAACACUAAAUUCAUAACACAUUACCUUUGAUCAAGUAAAGAGGGAAGUUCCGUCCACCCUAACACUAGUUAAAGAUCUUCCACCCUUCGAAUAGUCCCUAAGCACGAACCAAAAAUAGGUAAGCAUUUUCUCACUGAAAUAUCACACUUACCAACAACGCGAGAAAAGAACCAAUUAAGAACUACAAGACUUAACAACAAGAAGAGAAUGCUCACUAGAAAGUAAUACCGUCGGCUCCAAGAGGAAGAAAAGAAUCAAUGACAAAGAAUAUGAAAGAAAGGAUAAAUUCGGCCAAGGGAAAACAAAGUGGAGAACAUUUUCUCACUACACAGUAAGAGUAGAAGAACCAAACAAAUAAUCGGUAACGAAGGAGAAAGGAACACUAGUUGUAGGCACAGCAAAACCGAAAAGAACAACUACCCUAGCUGAAACAAACACUUCAAGGAAAUUUGACCAAAAAGAAAAAGCAAAAAGAAGAGACAGACAGCAACUAGAGAGGUAGAGAAAACAAUCGUCAAAAAGAAAAACCAACAUUAGGGAAAUGAGAGGAACCGAAUUUUGAAAAAAAGAUCCCAAUAAUCAGAUAAUUCCCCCUUAUUUUCUUCUAAAAUUUGGCCACUAAAUCCCCACACUUCAAACACUCCAACCGCCUACCAGCAUUAGAAUUUCACUAACACACAAUCACUUAUACGGCAACAGUAAAAAUAAAAAAUAAAAACCUUCGUUCGCACAAAGACUUGAACUCUUGACCCUCAGCUCAUAAGCACUCCCCUUAAGCACCAAACUAGCAAGCCUAUUCUGCCAAAUUCUAUCAACAUUUAUUUAUAAGUCUACUGACUAAAAGAUGGGACUUUAUUCACUUAAAACAAAAAUUUUGCACAAUCCAAAGCUUGAACCCAAGACUUCUCAGACACUUUCAGAACACAUAACCACUGAAGCAGAUACACGUUUAUGUCAUAAACAUAACUAAAUAAAUAUUAACAAUACGUUUGGUUGGAUGAAAUUGCUUUUCCAUUUUGCCCUAAUUCCACGCGCUACAGUAUAGUACUGUUUAGGUGAUUCCACGGAAUUGCUAUUACAUGCUCAUUCCCUCAUCUCACCGUUUAGGUAUUCAAGGGUUAGGGGUCUGAAUACCUAUUCAACACCACACAAUUUAGGUUUUUAGACCAAAAUAGCCUUCCUCCCUUCUUCCUAAAUUCUCUCUAGAUUUCUUCCUUCCUAAAUCAAGCAUCCAUUCGUUUUUUUUCUAUUAUGUGUUUCUCAGGCUGCUUGCAAGUCGGCACUAAAAAUGGAAUCAGUGUUUUCCCUUGAUGUUAUUUGUUGUAGUCUUGAUGAAUCAAUGAGUCUAAAGAAUUUCGGGCUCUCUGAUGCUUGUCUGGCCACUUUAGCAUCUCAAGGUUUGCAAAAUUUACUUACUUUUCUCUUUCCUAGUUUUCCCUUUUCAUUGCAGUGUUUGAACCAUUACUUUUUAUUAUGUCUAUGGAAGAUGAACUGAUUUUUUCACACUUCUUUGAGGGGUUCAGAAUUAAAAACCCAGUUUUAAUCUAUAGAAGAUAGAUUGGAUUUUUACCCUUUCGAAAGGGGUUUAAAGUUAAUUACCAUUUUAGAUGAUGAAUGAGCUUCUAUAUUUCCAUCUUUGUCUUCACAGCUAAUCAAAAGGUUGAUCACUCUGAUUUAUCAUUUGGAGAAAAUAUGUAAUUUUUUGGAGUCCUGAAAGUUCUUUAUAUCGUAUAAAAGCCACACUCUUUUUUGCUGGUCUUUUUUUUUUAUUUCCUUUAGAACUAACUCUGAACCUAAAAUUGCAGGUAUAAUGGAGAUAAAGCAAACAACAUCAAGGUUACAAAUAAGCCUGCUACAGAUUCCAUAGAAGUAACUAAAGGUAGAGAUUACUGACUUUUUGUACACUUUUAAGUUACCCUUGACAAUCCAUUAUUGGGUUUUUGACUAGCAAUAGAAGUCUCUAAUUAGUGUUAUGUUAUUUAUUUUACACCAUGAUACAUAGCAGAAGGCGAAAAGGACCCAAAUCAAGUUGAAGUUAAGAGGCCAAUUUUACAAAUAUCCAAGGAUGGUUAUGAAAGUCUUCCUUCGUAUAUGACUAGUUUAGCAUCGUGGGAGGUAUGCAACUCAUGCUUUUGGUUUUUGAGGAUUCUAUUCUAACUAAUGUUUUAAACAUAAAAUGCUAUGCUAGAGUUGUGCUCUUAUGGUUGAGCCACACUGGCGAGAAGGUUUUCAAAGAACUCUUUGCACAUUAAAUAGGACAUGAUAAAAAUUUUGAAAAUAGUAAAAGCAAAAUUAAGAUGGUAAAAAUACCAAAUUACAACCUGUUGUUGAAUUGAAACAAUUACUUCUUGACAUUGUGCUAUUCAAAUGUAUUAUGGGGUGAGGGACAGGGCUGAGAAUAAAAACCAAUUUGCAUAGUAAUGUACAAUUCUAUUUCUUUUGGGUUAUAACUGAAUGUAUGGAGCCAUGUCCCUAGUAUAAUGCUUAGAUUGUUUCCUUCUUGUAUGUGAACAGUGAACCUGAUCUGGUUUAGCUAAGGCAUUAGAAUGGUGGUAUUAACUGAUUUAAAGCUUUCUCUUUAUAGGUGCUAAUAACAUAAAAUAUCUUGAAUGCAAAAUUCUUGGUUUUUUUUUCUUUUAAUUGCGAAUUCUAUUUAAAGAAAGCAUAACCACUGCCUUCUUGGAUGAUAAUCAUCUAAUACAAAAUGCUUUCUUCAUUUUUAUUUUUACUUUUCUUUUUUUGUUGAGGGGGCUUUCAGGAUGUGCUUGCAAUUGUGGAGAAGAUCAACUCAAGUUUGAACAAGAAAAAAAAACAAAGGGUUAUAAUUACUUCUACCAAGAUGAAAUUGAAGCCCUGGGCUUAGGUAAUGCACCGCAUCCUACUAUUUGUCUGUAGUUGGAUUAUAUUUUAUUAUAUUCCUACGACUUUAGGUGUAACAUUGAACAUGGAUUUCUGUUUGGCAUGAUAUAUUCAGUUUCUUUUUCAAUAUUUUCAUAUACUUAGAUGGGUCUUAAGAGGAUCAUGUCCAGAUACAUGUCUUGGGAGGAUUAUAUACUUAUACCCAUAUUUGAAUAUGCAUGGGAUGCAUGUGCCAGAUACAGAUAUUUCAAGAAAAAUGUAAAGUUAGAAGCCAUAUAAUCAGUAUAUUCCAUUGGUUUAAUCGGGGAACACUUAUCGCACUGGCAAGUUGUGCUGUUAGAAGUUAGAACAAAGCAUGUCCUAGAUUAAUUAUUUGCAAUCUGGAUAUAUCCUCAACCAGAGAUGGCCAAUUCAUUUUGUCUAAACCUUAAACAUAGCAUGUAAAUGGUUAACAUCUAAAACCCGAGUUGACAAGUUCUGAUUGGUGCAUACAGGGCCUAAAGGACGAGCUUACUUGCUGCUAUUGGUACGCAUGAAUCAUCUUAUUGUGGAGAUCACUAAUGGGUGGAUUUCUUAAUGAGUGUUGUGAAUUAGAACCAACCUGUUGUGAAUUAGUUCUUUUGUUAAUAAAAUUCACUGUUAAACAAUGAUGGGAGGUAAUAUUCAAGGUUGAAUUAAUUUUUAUUUGAAAAAAAAUUAAAUCUAAUUUUUCAUUUUAUGGAAAAAAAUCUUUUUAAAAACAAUAGAUGGGUAAUUGAAAAUAUAAAUUUUCAAUCUUAAUCAUCAAUUAAUUCCACAUUAUUAAAAAAAGCACAAAUUGAUGGAAUAUUUAAUAAAAAUAUUAAUUUUAACUUUUAUUUAUCUUAUAAAGGUUAAUUUGUACAAUUUUUUAAUAUUAAAUGAAAAAUGCAAUAUAGAUUGUAAUUAUUAAAUUGUUGGUAGUAAUUUUGCACUUGAAGGAGUGACGCGACAGUGAGCACUUUUCUGACUCCAAAUCUGGAAAUUGAAAACACAAAAAACAUAAGAAUUGUUUACACAAUUCAUUUCUCUAUGUUUGCUGUAAGGCCCAAAUUUUGCCCGGGGCCCAAUAAAACCAAACCCAAAUUAAACCUAGCCCAUUACCCAGUUACAAGCCCAAACCCAAGUUUGGCCCAACCUAAUCCCAUUACACUAGCCCAACCCAAACACAAAAAAAAACUAAAAAAAAAACUAGCCACCAAAGUCCGUCACCACCCACACCUCCACUUGCUCCACUUGCUCCACUUGCACCUGCAAAAUAGAAAAAAGAGAAAAGACAGCAACAAAUAAUAAUAAAAUUUGUAAAAAAGGGAUGGCUAUAAGAAAGCCAUCCGAAAAUCAGGAAGAAAAGGGGGGGAUUUUGGAUUCUAUCUCAUUUUUUUCAGCUAAAAAUAGAAGUCGAAAAGAAAUCGUAAAAGGGGGGAUCCCCAUUCUUGUACGCAGGAUUUGAGAAAUAAAAGAAAAAAAAUACAAAGAAAAGGUGGAUUUCCGAUCGUAUUCUCUUGGUUUUCAUUUUGUUCUUUAGUUUCUUUUUUAUUUUUGUUUACAAAUCUAUUAAACGAAAGUGGGCAUAAAAAAUAAAAAAAAAAGAAAGGAGAAGAGAGUCUUACCGGAUCCACCCCGAGGUUGUGUCGCCGGAGUUUUCUUUUCCGUCGUCAGAAUCGACGCAAGGAGAAGGUGAGGGGUUCUUUCUCCUUUGUUUUCUUCGAUAUAGAGAGGCCUCACCAUUGAAUCUUCCUUUAAAAGUGCCAAAAACCCAGUUCCAUGAGGCUUUAAACCACCGUUUACGAUGGAAGCCACGGCGGGUUCACGAUGGUUUGGUGACAGUUCAAAAGGGGGAAGGUAGAAAACCUAGCAGAGCAAAGAAGUUGAGGAGAAGGGGCUGCUCUCUUUAUUUAUUUCUACUGAAUGAAUAAAAUGGAGGGUGAAUGUUUUAAGAAAAAAAAAUGUUUUUUUUUAAAAAGGGAUUUGGGUGUUCUAAAAGUUUUUUUUUAAAAAAAAGGGGCCACUGUUCUUUAAUUUUAAUUGUUUUUGGGGAAAGGGAAAAGGUGGCCUGCGCAUGGACAGUUGGUUCUGCGCAUGUUCCCCUUAAAUGGGUAAUUUGCGCGGCCAGUCCUUCCUAUUUUGCGUUACCUUUAAUUUGUCCCUAUUAUGUUUCUUUCAUUUUUCUCCAAAAGUUUGCAUGAUGUUUCAGUUUGGUCUGCGCCUAAGUAGUGUUUUUGGUGAUUUGGGUCAUUUUCAAUUUUGAUCCCCGAGCAUUUGUGCGCGUUUUAUUUCGGCCCACAAUUUUGUUUAUAAAUUAUCCCUUUGGUUUUGUUGUGCUUACAAUGAAGUUUUUUUCCUUAAGAAAUAAGAGCAUAUUAUUUUAGCAUAUAAUCUUGUAUUGUUUUGAUGAUUUCGUUGUUUUUUUUUAUGUGCAUAUUUUUUUUUCUUUUCUUUUUUCAAAUACUUUCGUAUAUUAUCAUUAUCUCUUUUAUAUAUAUAUAUAUAUUAUAUUAGGUUUAUUAAUUUCAUAUAUUAUUUACUUAAAUGUUGUACAUAUAUCACUUUGCAUAUUGCUAAAUCUUUUUGAAACUUCAUUUAUGUAUUAUAUAUAUAUUUGAUGCAUCUCAAAUUUCCAUGUAAAUUAUUUUAUGGCAUUUAUUUUAAAAUUCAUUCGUAUGAUAUUAUUUAAUUUAUUACUUAUUUAUAUUUUUCUAUUUAUUUUAAAAGUUUUAUAUUCAUUAUUUGUUUUAAAGUCUUUGUAUUACUUUUAUACUAGUGUUCUUUUAAAAUUUCCUUUCUUCCCUAUUGUUCAUUUUAUUUUAAAAAUUGAUAUUUUAUUUGAGUAAUUUGCUUAGAACUUCUUUUAAGUUGGCUUUUAAUUCAUUAGCUUAUAAUUAUUAACAUUUGUAUUUAUAUAUUUGUUCCUUCAUGUUUUUGUAUCAUUCUUGAUUAUUCAUGUAAUGUUAUUGUCCCAAAUUUUUAUUUCUGGCUCAAUACUAAGCUUGCAUGCUCUUUAUUGCAUCAUGUUUUUUUAAUUCCAACUUCUUUCUCAACGUCAAUUGUUUUUAUCUCUAAAUAAUCAAACAAGUAUAUUGACUCAUAUUUUUGCAAUUGUAUUUGAAACUUCACAAAUCAAGGCAAUGUUUCGUGUUUGGAAAUUCGGGAAAUAGUUGUGUCCUAACUCACUAGAUAUGACAUUUUGUUACCUCGAAAUAAGAUUUUUCGUAAGUAAAGGCAAUAUUAGAUGUUUGGCAAUUCGGGAAAUCGUACCCUAUCUUGCUGGGUUGCAAUUUCCUAUUUGUUCGAAACAAUCGAAUAUUCCUUCGGUGUUCCACUCGUGUCUUUUAAAAAUUUUUAUUAAAACGAAAGAAAUGUUCGAUAUUUAGCAAUUCAUGGAAUCGUGCCCUAACGUGUUGGGUUGCAAUUUCUCGUUUGCUCAAAAUAAUCAAAUGUCUCUUUAGAAUUUCAUUCAUGUUUUCUAAAAAAAAAACUUAUAAAGGAAAUGUUCGGUAUUUAGCAGUUCGGGGAAUAGUACCCUAUCGUGCUAGGUUGCAAUUUCCUAUUUGCUCAAAAUAAUUGAAUAUCUCUCCGGAAUUUCACUCGUAUCUUCCAAGGUGAGGCAAUGGUCAAUGUUUGGAAAUUCGAGGAAUCGUGCCCUACUGUGCUGGGUAUCGAUUUUUCGUUAGACCAAAUAGUUGGGCAUCCUUUUGUUAUUUUCGAAUUACAAAUUUUCGAACGUCGAAACAAGAAGAUUUUUGGCAAUGGACUCGGGUUAUUCAAAUGUUAUUAACAAGAACCACAUUUCAAAAACAUUUUUAAUUUUAGACAAAAGGACAGUAUUUAAUCAAUUUGGUACCAAUUUUGGGUGUAAUGAGGGUGUUAAUCCUUCCUCAUACGUAACCGACUCCCGAGCCUAUUUUCUCAUAUUUUCGUAGACCAAAAUCAUUGUUUUAAUAAACCAAAAUGUUUUAUUAAAACAACCCAAAUUUCUAGGUGAUUCGAUCACACCUAAACAAAAAAUGAUUGGUGGCGACUCCAUUUUCGCUUUCCAAAAAGUCGACCCAUCAUUUUUAAAACGAAAUAAAAAAUGGUUUCGACAGCUUGGCGACUCCACUGGGGACGUAAAUAAGAGAGUCAAGCCACAAGUUGAUUAACUUUUGUCUUUUCAUCGAAAAUUGAAAAUUUGGUUUUGAAAUACGAUUCUUUCAUUGGAUUUCAUCAGCUAUUUUUGUGGUUUAUGAUAUAAUACCUGCUGUAUUAGUUUGAGUCUUUAAAUAGCUUUGCAUAUUGCAUUGCAUGACCGUUGUGGUUUCACAUUUUAAGUGGGAGUGAGAAACUAUGCUUUCGUGAGGUUUUCACGUCCGCAUGGGCUAGGGGAUCGCUUCCAGAAUGCAUCCGUACUUAUGUCUUCGUGAGGUUUUCACCUCCGCAUGGGCAUAAGGAAAUGUAUUCCCCUGAACUGAACUUGGUCCAUAUGAGCCUAUAAUGGGUGAGGACCGAGGAAUCUACUGGUUCGGGUACCCUUACUCUAGAAUCGAGCCACAUAUAGAGACACCUAGGAGCUUACCCUAGGCAGAGCCACUCCGGACCCCUAGUGAUCACCCGAUUAGGUAAUUUAUUGGUUGUUUAUUUCGAUACUAACAUGUUUUGUUUUUUGUUCAUUCAUAACUGCAUUGCAUUACAUCAUCAUAGAAAGGAGGUGUUGAUAUUCAAUUGCUAAAUAGAACAAUUUGUCAUAAGAAAACAAAUUUCUUAAUAACGCGAAUUAUAAUACGGUUGUCUGAAUUCGAUCCAAGUGAACACAACAGAAAAAGGCUAACAGUUCGUGGAAGAAAACAAAACUUUACCUAAGGAUUCAAGCUGAUAAAGAUUAUCCAAAAAUCGUCGCGUCCCGACUUUCUUAAAGGAGCUAAUCAACGUUGCAAGGAUAGUAAUUCGUGGCCUGGAUCAAGCAAAAAGGAGCUAGUAGAGGCAUGCAUUGGAAGCUUGCAAGAUUUGACUUUCACGAAGAAAGGGGAUCAGUGCCUUCGCCUCGAAUAUGAAAGCAAGGUCGUAUACAUAAUCCGUUUUAUGGAAAAGAUUUUGUUUUAUAGAAAAGUUGUUCUAGGGGAAUUGAAUUCAAAAUCAACAUCUUUCUUUCCUUUGCAUUCAUCCCAUGCAUUUGCAUUGCAUUGCAUCAUGUGCAUUGCAUUGCAUCAUUUGCAUUAGAUUUUCCCAAAACGACCCUAAUUAGGUAAAAUUAUUUUAGAACCGACAAAAGAUAUGGACCAAAGGUUGGAAAGAAUGGAGCAAAGGCAAAUGCAGAUGCAAGAGUAGUUGAUCGAAAUUCAACAGGAUAUGCGAGAAAUGCUAGAACUCCAAAGAAAUAUGAUGGGCAAGUUAACCCAUUUACUGGCCGGAGAAUUUGAAAAAAUGAGUGGCCCAGUGGUCAAUAGUGAGGAUGAUGUUGAAGAGAUUAUCUAUUCCCCAGGCUUUGCCCCAAUAAGCGUCCCGACCCAACCAGACAUGCAAGGGGUACCUGUUGUUAUAGGACACCAACACCAGACGGAUACAUCAACACUGUUGAGCUUCUCGAUGGGUUCAGGUUUUAACCCGAAAGAUGAUCAAGCCGAGCCAGUUAUUCUGGAAGAAAAGAAGGCAAGGGGAGAGUGGACUUUAAAAGCCCCGAAGAAGAAGGAAACGAAGGAAAAUAGUACGAGUAGGUAUAACAAGGGUCAUUCGGAGCCGGUUAUAGCAGGCCAGCCAAGGUCAGUAACUAUCAGCAAUCAGACCUCCUCAAGGCAAGAACCCAAUCGAAGACCGAGCUCAGAAAAACCCCAAUACGUGCCCAUUCCAAUCAUGUAUGGAGAGUUGUACCGCAUCUUGUUCGACGCACAUGUCGUAUCCCUUUUUUACCUGAAACCUAUACUACCCCCAUAUCCUAAAUGGUAUGAUGCAAGCAGUCAAUGUGAAUACCACGCGGGAAUUAUGGGGCAUUCCAUCGAGAACUCUACCGCUUUUAAAAAGAUUGUCGAAAGACUCACCAAUUUGGGUAUCGUAAAAUUAGAUGAUCCCUUUGGAGUGGGAAAUCGGUUAUCCAACAUUUCUGUUAAAGAGGCGAACGUUAUGAGUUCCAUGCUGGAUUGGGGCAUGAUAUUUAAGGGUGUAUUGAGCUCGGAACUCUAAUGCAAGGCCUGGUAUUGGGAAACCCGAACAUCAACGACGUAUUAGAAGAGGGAACCCGGGAGUAGACUUUUUCAAGCUUCUGCCCUUACGUACUUAGGGUGUUUUAAACAAUGGGACUGUGAAAAGGAUCCUUUAUUUUUAGAGCUAAUCUGGAGUAAUAUUCAAAACAAGCUUGUUGUUUUAAGCCUAGAAGCAACAAGAAUCCUUUUGUGAAAUAGGCUUAUAUCCAAAAUCUUUAUUUCAAUGAAAUACAUGUUUGAGUAAAUAUUCUUUUAUUCUUUCCAUUUUAUACUGUACAAACGACUAUUCUUAGAUUCUUUCAUUCAUGAUCAUAUCAUACAAAUAAUCAUUAUUAGAAUCAUUUAUUCUUUGGAAAACGCCUUCGUACCUAUAACAGGUCCCCAGAUAUCAAUAAUGUGAGCGACACUGUCACCGACUCCGAGUCUCUUUUUGAGCGAAAUAUUGACCCAAAGGGAUCUCAGCACUUUGAAGAUGACAGAGAUGGUGCCCUAUCUCCAAAUUUGUUAAGAAUGGUAGAACAAGAUAUCCUACCUUACAAAGAGUCAGUGGACAGUAAGAUUAGGACAAGAGAAAGAGGCAAAUAUCAGAGUCUGCAUCACCACAAAGACAAAGCUAGAUGUCAUUGAGUUAUUUCCAAGAAUUUGAAUAUUCUUGCGCGACUGUAUCAAGAUACGCCUGGCCACUAAGAAGUGAGGAUAUUGCAGAGUUUUUGAACGACGUAUACUAAUGACAUAUACGAUGGCGAAGCUAAUCAUGAGAUUUGGUUUCUCCUGGUCCACCGUAGAAAUGGAUUACAUCAAUAUGCUAUAAAUGCCAAAUUUAUGGAAACAAGAUUCACGUGCCCCUUCAUUUCUCCAUAGACUUUUUCUAUGUGGGGGCAUGAAGGUUAUGAGCUGAUCUAUUUGAAAGCUUCUAACCAAUACCGAUUCACCUUUGGGGUCAUCGAUUACUCCGCAGAAAGGGUAAAAGUUGUUUCAUAUGCUAAUGUCACUAGGUCGACAGUCACCAAAUUCUAAAAAAAAAGGUGCCAAAAAAGAGUGUCAGAAAAUCAUGUCUAACACAACUGUACAAUGUCAAAAGGUUACAGUCUGUUCAAAGAUUAGGCGCUAUAUGGCAAAAGAAAAAAAAAGACCCGAUGACAAAUUAAAUAUCAUGGGGAAGAUGACCGAGACUUGUAAAGAUUGGUAUAAGAAGUCACCAUUUACCCUUUAUGCUCAUCGAACGUUGGCCAAGACCUUUACCGGGGCAGUGUAUUUCAUCAGUCUAUGGGAUAAAAAAUGAUUUUAAAGAAGAGAUUUCUUGUUUCUGAGUCUUGUCAGACCUGAAGGUGGAUAAGGCAAUCCCGAUACGAUCAGUUGAAUUUGAAGAAAGGAGGUUGAAAGCCAUCCGUCAUGGUCCAAUGAACGAUGUGAGUUUACAAUGAAGAGGUUCAUCCUAGAGAGUUCUACGAGGGGAACUUGAUAAUAAAAAUAUCCCUCCUAUAUAAAAGACUUCAGAGAAAAAUGGAUGUCGAACUAAGAAGGACCUUAUGUAGUAAAAAAGACCUGUUUUGGAGGGGAAUCAAUGUUGACCGAGAGGGAUGGCAAAGAUUUGCCCAAGUCGGUGAAUUCGGAUUUCGUCAAGAAGUAUUUCACCUAGAAAAUGAGAGGCCAAGGCGAAAACCCGCGAAGGGCGCUUUGAGACUUUCAAAAAAAAAAGAAAGAAAAAAAGAGAAGAAAAAAGGAGAGGCCAAAGUGAAAACCAACAAAGGGCGCUUUGAGACCAAAGGGGAUUUGAGUUGAAAACCCGGAAAGGGCGGCUCAAAUUUGGAUCGAAGUGGGGCAUAUAAUAGUCUUGCUAUACCUGAAUUAACAAUAAAGAAGUAUGCUACGUCUUGGGGCAUCAACAAAGUGCUUCGAAUCCCCUAAACACGUAUUGAGCUCAGAAAAGUCCUUAAGAAGUUGGUACAGAGAAGCUCAAGCUGCGAUAUCUGGGACACCUAGUUUUCUAUUUUACCCAUUUUGAAUUUGCUAUAUUUGAUUAACUUAUUCGUUUUGAGUUAAUUUCCUCCUUAUUGCAUUUGCAAACUUUGAUUAAUUUAUUCCUUUCGAGCUAUGCUCCCAAUCAAUUUCCUUCUUGUCCAUUAUUUUGAUCUUUUUCGAGCAUUUUGCAUUGAAAUAACGAUUAAUGGACCAAUAAUACUUUCACAAAAGAAGUUCUGCAUAUUACUCUGGAAGUUUCUAAAUAAUACAAGAACCUGAAACAGGACUAUUGUUUAGAACUCACCAAGCCUAAGGGUUGGAAAUAUUAUCUCUUUGGACUCUUUAUUGGUUGAACCAAAAGAUAAGACAAGACGAGCUAUGUCAACCUAAGUGUAAAAGAGGGUCAUUCUCGAGAAAAGAAGAUGAUACUCUGCAUUCAUAUACAUCUGGUCAUUACACCCAGGGAAUAGUGUAACAGAUCAAACUGAUUCAAGAUGAUACAAAUCCUAUGCCUUUGAGUUGCAGCAGAAUGGAUGGAAGAAACCAAAUGUUAUUCCUCUGAAAUUGCAGUAAGAGGCACAAACUUUAUGUCCCAAAAGGUAUAGUGGAAGGGACUCUGAAAUUACAGUGGGGCAAGCUUGCUGAGCAAAAUGUGAUUAUUUCUUUGACUUUUCUGUCAAGAAUACCAGCAGAAUAAGAUGCCAGCAUAAUACGUCAGUGAUAAUAUCCUAAUGAACAACGAACGAUGAUACCUUAAGCCUUUUAAAAAAAAACUCAUGACAUUUCUACAUUUAUAUAAUAACACAUCUAGUUAGGAGCAUUUGAUUCAUUUCAUAACAUCCUAAUUAUUUGACAUAAAGCAUCACAUUUAGUUAGGAGCAUUUGAUUCAUAGCAUCCUAAUUAUUUGGCAUAAGCAUGGAUACAUGAAACUGAUUUUACAGAUCAUGUUCCUUAGAGAACAGUGCAGUAAAAUCGGUGAAUUCACAAGUCUUAUCUCCCUGAAGUUACAGUGGAGUAGACUGAAGAUAGCAAAUCAUAUUUCCCUAAAGUUGCAGUGGAACAGAUUGAAGCUAAAUUACAGAUCUUAUCUCUCUGAAGUUGCAGUAGAACAGGUCGAAGUUACAAGUCUUAUCUCCCUGAAGUUGCAGUGGAGCAUAUUGAAGAUAGCAAAUCUUAUUUCCCUGAAGUUGCAGUGGAACAGAUUGAAGCUAAAUUAUAGAUCUUAUCUCUCUGAAGUUACAGUAGAACAGGUCAAAGUUACAAGUCUUAUCUCCUUAAAGUUACAGUGGAGCAGACUGAAGAUAGCAAAUCUUAUUUCCCUGAAGUUGCAGUGGAACAGAUUGAAGCUAAAUUACAGAUCUUAUCUCUCUGAAGUUGCAGUAGAGCAAGUCGAAGUUACAAGUCUUAUCUCCCUGAAGUUGCAGUGGAACAGAUUGAAGCUAAAUUACAGAUCUUAUCUCUCUAAAGUUGCAAUAGAGUAGGUCGAAGUUACAAGUCUUAUCUCCCUAAAGUUGCAGUGGAGCAGACUGAAGAUAGCAAAUCAUAUUUUCCUGAAGUUGCAGUGGAACAGAUUGAAGCUAAAUUACAGAUCUUAUCUCUCUGAAGUUGCAGUAGAGUAGGUCGAAGUUACAAGUCUUAUCUCCUUGUGCUUACAAGGAGCAGAUCGAAGACAUAGCUGAUUUGGCUUUCACGUGUUUACGUUGAAGCAGAUCCAAGAUGAUUUGGCAUCUCUGUAUCAAGCGGGGAGCAGAUCGAAGACAUAGCUGAUUUGGCUUUCACGUGUUUACGUUAAAGUAAAUCCAAGAUGAUUUGGCGUCUCUGUAGCGGCGGAGAGCAGAUCGAAGAUAACAGAUUUGGCGUCUCUGUAGCGGCGGAGAGCAGAUCGAAGAUAACAGAUUUGGCGUCUCUGUAGUGACGGAGAGCAGAUCGAAGAUAAUAGAUUUGGCGUCUUCGAUUUGGCAUCUCUGUAGCGGCAGAGAGCAGAUCGAAGAUAAUAGAUUUGGCAUCUCUGUAGCGGCAGGGAACAGAUCGAAGAUAACAAAUUUGGCGUCUCUGUAGUGGCGGAGAGCAGAUCGAAGAUAGCAGAUUUGGCGUCUCUGUAGCGGCGAAGGGCAGAUCGAAGAUAAUAGAUUUGGCGUCACUGUAGCGGCGGAGAGCAGAUCAAAGAUAACUGAUUUAGCAUCUCUGUAGCGGCGGAGAGCAGAUCGAAGAUAACGGAUUUGACGUCUCUGUAUUGUCAAGAGAGCAGAUCAAAGAUGACAGAUUUGGCGUCUCUGUAUUUGCAGAGAGCAGAUCAAAAAUAAUAGAUCAGUGUUUCUGAGUUUUCAAGGAGCAAGUUGAAGAUAGCAAAUUUGACACUCCUGAAGACAUCAGAAUACUUUUAGGGAAGAUGAGGAGCAAGAUUUUGAGGUUUAGCCAGACCGGGCAAAUUUGGUCCUUUUUAUAGUCUUUGCUCCAUUCUCGUUACACGAUAAUGAGCAAAGAGGGGUAGCUGUAAGGCCCAAAUUUUACCCGGGACCCAAUAAAACCAAACCCAAAUUAACCUAGCCCAUUAUCCAGUUACAAGUCCAAACCCAAUUUUGGCCCAACCUAAUCCCAUUACACUAGCCCAACCCAAACACAAAAAAAAAACUAGCCACCAAAGUCUGUCACCACCCACACCUCCACUUGCUUCACUUGCACCUGCAAAAUAGAAAAAGGAGAAAAGACAACAACAAAUAAUAAUAAAAUUUGUAAAAAAGGGAUGGCUAUAAGAAAGCCAACCGAAAAUCAAUAAGAAAAGGGGGGAUUUUGGAUUCUAUCUCAUUUUUUCGGCUAAAAAUAGAAGCCGAAAAGAAAUCGUAAAAGGGGGGAUCCCCAUUAUUGUACGCAGGAUUUGAGAAAUAAAAGAAAAAAAACACAAAGAAAAGGUGGAUUUCCGAUCGUAUUAUCUUGGUUUUCAUUUUGUUCUUUAGUUUCUUUUUUAUUUCUUUUUUAUUUUUGUUUACAAAUCUAUUAAACGAAAGUGGGCAUAAUAAAAAAAGAGAGGAGAAGAGAGUCUUACCGGAUCCACCCCGGGGUUGUGUCGCUGGAGUUUUCUUUUCCGUCGUCAGAAUCGACGCAAGGAGAAGGUGGGGGGUUCUUUCUCUUUUGUUUUCUUUGGUAUAGAGAGGCCUUACCAUUGAAUCUCCCUUUAAAAGUGCCAAAAACCCGGUUCCAUGAGGCUUUGAACCACUGUUUACGGUGGAAGCCACGGCGGGCUCACGAUGGUUUGGUGACAGUUCAAAAGGGGGAAGGUAGAAAACCUAGCAGAGAAAAGAAAAGAAGUUGAGGAGAAGGGGCUGCUCUCUUUAUUUAUUUCUGCUGAAUGAAUAAAAUGGGGGGUGAAUGUUUUAAGGAAAAAAAAGGUUUUUUUUAAAAAAAGGGAUAUGGGUGUUCUAAAAGUUUUUUUUUUUUUAAAAAAAAGGGGCCACUGUUCUUUAAUUUUAAUUGCUUUUGGGGAAAGGAAAAAGAUGGCCUGCGCAUGGACAGUUGGUUCUGCGCAUGUUCCCCUUAAAUGGGUAAUUUGCGCGGCCAGUCCUUCCUAUUUUGCGUUACCUUUAAUUUGUCCCUAUUAUGUUUAUUUCAUUUUUCUCCAAAAGUUUGCACGAUGUUUUAGUUUGGUCCGCGCCUAACCAGUGCUUUUGGUGAUUUGGGUCAUUUUCAAUUUUGAUCCCCGAGCAUUUGUGCGCGUUUUAUUUCGGCCCACAAUUUUGUUUAUAAAUUAUCCCUUUGGUUUUGUUGUGCUUACAAUGAAGUUUUUUUCCUUAAGAAAUAAGAGCAUAUUAUUUUAGCAUAUAAUCUUGUAUUGUUUUGAUGAUUUCGUUGUUUUUUUUUAUGUGCAUAUUUUUUUUUCUUUUCUUUUUUCAAAUACUUUCGUAUAUUAUCAUUAUCUCUUUUAUAUAUAUAUAUAUAUAUUAUAUUAGGUUUAUUAAUUUCAUAUAUUAUUUACUUAAAUGUUGUACAUAUAUCACUUUGCAUAUUGCUAAAUCUUUUUGAAACUUCAUUUAUGUAUUAUAUAUAUAUUUGAUGCAUCUCAAAUUUCCAUGUAAAUUAUUUUAUGGCAUUUAUUUUAAAAUUCAUUCGUAUGAUAUUAUUUAAUUUAUUACUUAUUUAUAUUUUUCUAUUUAUUUUAAAAGUUUUAUAUUCAUUAUUUGUUUUAAAGUCUUUGUAUUACUUUUAUACUAGUGUUCUUUUAAAAUUUCCUUUCUUCCCUAUUGUUCAUUUUAUUUUAAAAAUUGAUAUUUUAUUUGAGUAAUUUGCUUAGAACUUCUUUUAAGUUGGCUUUUAAUUCAUUAGCUUAUAAUUAUUAACAUUUGUAUUUAUAUAUUUGUUCCUUCAUGUUUUUGUAUCAUUCUUGAUUAUUCAUGUAAUGUUAUUGUCCCAAAUUUUUAUUUCUGGCUCAAUACUAAGCUUGCAUGCUCUUUAUUGCAUCAUGUUUUUUUAAUUCCAACUUCUUUCUCAACGUCAAUUGUUUUUAUCUCUAAAUAAUCAAACAAGUAUAUUGACUCAUAUUUUUGCAAUUGUAUUUGAAACUUCACAAAUCAAGGCAAUGUUUCGUGUUUGGAAAUUCGGGAAAUAGUUGUGUCCUAACUCACUAGAUAUGACAUUUUGUUACCUCGAAAUAAGAUUUUUCGCAAGUAAAGGCAAUAUUAGAUGUUUGGCAAUUCGGAAAAUCGUGCCCUAUCGUGCUGGGUUACAAUUUACUAUUUGUUCGAAACAAUCGAAUAUUCCUUCGGUGUUCCACUCAUGUCUUUUAAAAAAUUUCAUUAAAACGAAAGAGAUGUUCGAUAUUUAGCAAUUCAUGGAAUCGUGCCCUAACGUGUUGGGUUGCAAUUUCUCGUUUGCUCAAAAUAAUCGAAUGUCUUUUUAGAAUUUCAUUCAUGUUUUCUAAAAAAAAAAACUUAUAAAGGAAAUGUUCGGUAUUUAGCAGUUCGGGGAAUAGUACCCUAUCGUGCUGGGUUGCAAUUUCCUAUUUGCUCAAAAUAAUCGAAUAUCUCUCCGGAAUUUCACUCGUAUCUUCCAAGGUGAGGCAAUGGUCAAUGUUUAGAAAUUCGAGGAAUCGUGCCCUACUGUGCUGGGUAUCGAUUUUUUGUUAGACCAAAUAGUUGGGCAUCCUUUUGUUAUUUUCGAAUUACAAAUUUUCGAACGUCGAAACAAGAAGAUUUUUGGCAAUAGACUCGAGUUAUUCAAAUGUUAUUAACAAGAACCACAUUUCAAAAACAUUUUUAAUUUUAGACAAAAGGACAGUAUUUACUCAAUUUGGUACCAAUUUUGGGCGUAAUGAGGGUGCUAAUCCUUCCUCAUACGUAACCGACUCCCGAGCCUAUUUUCUCAUAUUUUCGUAGACCAAAAUCAUUGUUUUAAUAAACAAAAAUAUUUUAUUAAAACAACCCAAAUUUCUAGGUGAUCCGAUCACACCUAAACAAAAAAAGAUUGGUGGCGACUCUAUUUUCGCUUUCCAAAAAGUCGAUCCAUCAUUUUUAAAACGAAAUAAAAAAAUGGUUUCGACAUUUGCAAAACUUAGUGAGAAAUAUUCACUCUCUCUAACAGUUGCAACAAGUAAACCUAAUCUAUCACAUAUUUCUUGAUAAUUCUUCUCACUUUCAAAUCUUGAAGAACAAUACUUUCACCAUUAAGUUUACCCCUGUGAAUUCAACAAGUAAAAUUACAACACAACUUAUUGUAUUAACAAUUUGUGCUCUAAGAAAAGUUCCCUAACAUAAAUAAAAUAAGUGCUAAAAGUUCUUAGUACAAAAACCUAUACAAAUCUCCAUUAAAUAGAUCUAUGUUUGAAACUUACUAACGUAAAAGGUCUAUAACAAUUUCAUUUAAACAAUAAUAUAAUAACAUAUUUAGAAUAAUAGAGAAUAAACCAAAUAUGGACUCUUGGCAACUAAUCUCAUAGCGUGUCAAUCCAAUCUAAAUUUCUAUGUUACAAGAGAUUGUCUCGGGUGAUUUAAUUCGAUCUAAUGAUAUUUUAGCACAUUAAAUAUUUUUUACAGUUUAAAAAUAAUAAAGUAGAUUAUAUAUUUUUAUAAUAUUAUAUAUUUUGAUUUUUUAAUUCAUAUAAUAAUAAUUAUAUUAAGAAUGUUAAUAAAUUAUAUUUUUUAUUAAAUUAUAUUUAAUAAUAAUUAUGUUAAAAUAUGAUUAAAUUAUUUAUUAUUUUUAUUAAAUUGUUUUCAAUAAUAAUCUUAUUAAAAUUUAAUAACAAUAACAAUAAUCAUCUACCUAAAAAAAAUUCUGCUAAGGGUAUUCUAGUCAUUUUGGUUUUUUUCCUUAUGCUAUUAUAACAUUAUUAUAUUCAACCAAACACAAGAAUACUAUUACAGUUCUAUUCUAUUCCAUUCAAUCAAACAGUUGAAUUACUGAUUACAGCUUUAUUCUAUUACAACUCUAUUCAAUUACAACUCUAUUCAAUUACAGCCAUAUUCCAUUACAGUGAACCAAACGUAGCAUAAGGAUUUUUGGGGCGUUACAUGAAUAGUAUUAUACACCAUGAACAUGCAUGUCUUAUAAAAUAUUUAAGUUGUAAUGUUUUGUACUACUUUUAAGAGUCUGUUAUAAAUAACAAACGUUUGAUUCAAAUUUUUUUGACUUGGAAAAUAUAUUUAAAUAAUAAUAAUAAAUACAUCUAGGUUAGUUUUCGUCAAUUGUAAAAUUUUAUUAAGUAUGUAAGUAUCGUGACAUCUUAUAUUUGGAUCCGAUAAAUCAAGUCAAAUAUAAAAUAUUACAGAGUAAACUUAUCUCGCCUCAUCUCACUAUAUUUACAAAACUACCCCUAGUAUAUAUACAUAUUAAGUUACGUUAAAUCCAAGAUGAUCUCCUACUCGUGUCGUCUACCCAGCUCCCAUCUACUAGUACAUUCUUUCCCAGCGGUAAUUCUCUCCCUAACUAACUAUUGCUAAAAAAAUUUAUUUUGAAUCUCCUUUUUACACAUUAAAAUGGGGAUUAUAGUAUUUACUUAAUUUUUCGGUAAUAUAUUAGGAAUUACGAUAAUGGAAAAACUAAUCUUAUUGCUCCAAAAUUGGCCAAAGCAAAUAGUUGUUUGAUAAACUUUAGAAAGAUAUAUAUAUAAAAAUAGAUUUGGUGGAGAUCGGACCCUUUAUAAAAUAUUGUGCUCUUUCUUUAGGUAAAGAUCGGGACAUGAUAGUAUAGCUUGGAUUGCCUCACCUCCUUACAAAAUUAUAUGACAAUUUCAGUGUAUGACACUUGUUCCUAGGUGCAUUAAUGCAUAAUUUGAAAUGGAGUACAAGGUCAAUAAUCUUUGUUUAAGUAUAUCCAUCAGCAUAUCCUACUUUCUUUGGCAAACAAAAAAUAGUUGUUUUUUAGAAGUGGCACUCUAUCAACUAAGUCAAUAUGUGCAUCAUCAAGAAGAGCUGUUCAUUGACUUACUAAUCUCCAUAGCCUUGAUUUUGGUUACUUGUUAUUUACUUCUAUCUUUAAUUGUUUGCGCUAUUCUUCACACAAAUUUAGGCAUACUAAAUUCCGGGUGGAGAUCCAAAAAUACUUUAUUGGCUAUCACAUGCAUGAAUAAAUGUAAUUUAAUUUUACAAGGAGAAAAACGGCACCAUCACAAUAUGAUGCAAGGCUCAAGUCAACAGUAUUUUAUAUACCCAACUUUGGCCCCACAAAACUUUAUUUAUUUACUAGUUGGCAGUCUUAGCAAGAUUUGAGUGUCCAAAUUCCUAAAAAAUUUCAAGCUGUUUGGCCCUUUAAUCUUUAAAAAAUUCAUUUUAUUUUUUAUUUCAUUUUUCAUUUUUUUAACUCUUAAAUUUAUAUAUUUUUUUAAAUCACUUUAAAAUAAAUAAAAAAAUUAAUGUUUGUUAACUUUGUUAAUAUAGCAUACACGUGGAUUGCCAUGUCAACAUUUAAUUAAUUUUUUAAAUUCAAAAAAUUAUAAAAAAAUAUAUUUUUAAAAUUUAAAAAUAAUUAAAAUUAUUAAAAAGUAUAAACCUAUAAAAAAAUUUUAAAAUUUUUAAAUUAAAAAAAUUAACUAAAUACGGAUAUAUCAUUCAUGUGGCAGUGUACGUGUAUUGAAGGAUAAAAAAAUUAUUAUGCCAAAAUUGACAUCACAACAUUUUUAUAUACAUAUCAAAUUUUGGAUAACAUACCAGCUGGUUCUCAAGUCCGUUUAAAAUUUUCCUUUUUUAUGAUUUUUGUAAAUAAAAUUGAGAUUUUUUUGGUAUUUUCGCUCUUGUUGUUGAACUACAUGUAUUUUUUAAAAUAAAAUUUUAUUUUUUUAAUUUCUAGAAAUUUUUUAUUAUUAUCGUAUUUUUUCUGAUUUUUAUAUAUAUAUUUUGGAGAUUUUUCUAAAUUUGUUUGACAAUUUUUUUUGUAUUUUCGCUCUUUUUAUAUUUUAUUUAUUUUUUAAAAAUAAAAAUAAAAAUCUUUUUAAUUUAUGAGAAUUUUAUAUAUUUUUCUUAUUUAUAGAAAAAAGAUAUUUUUUUAGCUAUUUUUUUCUGAUUUUUUUAAUUUAGUCAAAAGAAAAUACAAACCCGGGGACAUGACAAACUAAUAAAAAAAUAUGCUAACUGAGUGCAAUUUUAGGAGUAAAUAAUAUAUUAACCCUAAAAAAGUGGUUUUAGGGAAAAGUUAAAAGUUCCAAAUAGCGAAUGUGCAUAUCGUUGAGUGAAGGAUUAGCGGGUAAUUGUGGGCAUGGAGUUUUAAUGAAAGUAGCUGAGGAGCGGUUGAACGCAAGGCAAUGUUAGAUUUAAGUAAGGUGUGGAUCGCUGUUUCUAAUAAUGGGAAACAUUGAAAUGAUAGUUGAAGACCUUUUUUGUGAAGCUUUGGCUGGUUCAGUUUGCAGUGUUGAAGAGUCACUACCCUCAUUCAUUCCUUUGACUAAGAAAUGGUAAUGUUCACUUGCAAAACCCAACAACAAAUGCCAUAUGCCACUCUCAUACACCCUUUUAACUCAAAUUUUUCUUGAAAUAAGUGAAUAUUUUAACCAGUAAAUAAGGGCGAAAUCAAAAAUUUGGAUCCGAACUUAAAUUGUUUUUUUAAUAGUUUAUAUAUUUAUAAUUUUUAAAAAAUUAAAUUAAAUUUUUAUUAUUUUUAGAGAGUUAGAAUAUGAUUUUAGCUUUACUAAUUUAAAUUUUUAAAAUUUCAAAAUCGAUAAUUUUCUAUUUUUAGAAGAUGCAAAUUAGUUGCCGUUAAAUUAUAAAUGGGCAACCUGAGUCAAGAAAAACCUCUAUGGGUUAAAUUUUUUUUAUUCUAUUAAAAAUAUUUUUAUUAAAUAAAUAAUAAUUUUUUGAACCAUAAUAGAUGGUAAAUUAAAUUACUUUAUGUUUAUUGGAGUACAAAUUUUACUUUACAUUUAAAGUAUUAUGUUUUCAUUAUUAAUAAAAAAGUAAAAAGAAAAAAUAUAUAUUAUUUUUGUUUUAAAAAGCAAAUUUUAAUUAUUUAUGCAAUAAAAUUUUAUAAACAAUAAAUCUAAUAUAUUACAAUGCAUAAAUCUCAAAACUAUACAUGGACUUUAGUUUAAUGUGUAAUUUUAUAUACGAAAUUUUGAUUUGAUUCAAUUCUCACGAAUAAUUAACACAAUUAAUUGAUAUAGCAUCAUUUUAUGAUUAUAUAUUGCAUAUAUAUAUAAUUAUAUUUAUCCAAUAUAGAAAUAAAUUUGUGUAGUUAUUUUUUAAAAUGUUUGUAAUUGAAUCAAAAUCAAAGUUUUAUGUGUAUAAAUGUACCGAACCGAAAUUCAUGUAUCAAAUUGCACAUUGAAUUAAAGUUCAUGUAUAAUUUUAAAAUUUAUCCCUAUAAUAUAAUUAUAUUAAUUAAUUAUUAUUUUAAAUAAUAUUGUCUUUCAUUAAUUAUUAUGAAAUAACUGUGUUAUACAUUAUAAGCAAUGAAAAUGCUUUAAUUAUAUUUAAAUUUUUAUUAUAAUGAUUGAAUUAUUAAACAAGUUAAUAUAUUUUAAUUAUAUCCAACAUUUCAAUUUGCCAAUAUUAUUUUAUACUAAUUAAAAAUAUUUUCUUUAUAUUCCCAAAUUUAAAUAUUUUUAUUUACUCUAAUUUGGGGAGGAAAACUAGUAAAAGGAAAGUAAAACAAAAUUUUAAGGUGUAGAAUGUCUUUUUAGUCUUUCAUUAAUAAUUGGGUAAAUUACAUUGCUGGUCACUAAACUAUGCAAAAAUAUCUUUUUUGGUCACUCAAUUUUUAAAACUUUCAAAAUGGUCACACGACUAAUCAAAUUUAUUCUUUUUAGUCUAUCUCCUAUUAAUGACAUUAACUAUUUGAUAGGAGGGUGUGGUGACAGUCCAAAAUUGAGUGUAAUAAUAAAUUUAGUCCUUAAUUUUUAUUAAAUAUUAUGUUAAUUUAUUCACAAUUUAAAAAAAGGAUAGGACACGAGAUACCCAAACAUGAAGUAAUUCAUUGAAUGACUUUUACAACAGGCUGAACCGGCGAUAAUUGCAGCCACCGGAACUGGUACUAUAUCGGCUAACUUUCGAACCUUAAUGUUUCACAGGGUCCACGCUUUCAGUUCCGCCUUCAAAGUCUGCUCCUCACCUUCUCGUCAUCGCCACCAUCACCUGUAUGAAGAAGGGUUUGCUCGUAGGGCUUUAGAUUAAUGUAUUAUUUUAAAUAAAAUACAAUGUAAUUUAUACAUUUUUUAAAAUUUAUUUUAUUUUUGAAAAUCUGUUAUUUUUAUUUUUAUUUUUUUAAGAAUUAAGAGCAAUUUGAGAAAAUUUGUAAUGUUGAGAGUAACUUUUUUAAAACUAUGACUAAAUUGGUAUAAUAUGUAAAAAUUAAGGAAUAAAUUUAUUAUUAUACCAUUGAAUUAUCAUAUCACCAAUAAAACAUGGAUAAAAAAGAAUAAAUUUGAUUAGUUUAGUGAUCAUUUUGAAAGUUUUAAAAUUUUGAUGACAAAAAAAGAAAAAUCUGAGCAUAAUUGGUGACCUAUAGUAUAAUUUACCAUAAAUUUAUGAAAAGUUAUAAUUAUACAAAUUAUAAUCCUUUCCUAUAAAUUAUUUAUCUAAACAAAAAUAUUAAAUUAGAGUGGAUUUGAAUGGAUGAUACAUUUACCUAUGGUUAGUGUAAAAACAAUGAUGAUAGUGAGAUUAAAUACUAUAGCACAAGAGAGAAAGUAAACUAAAUGCAGCACAAUACAUCUUACCAUCCAUCAAAACUCAGCCUUACUCUUUUAUUCAAACUAGAUUUGUUUAUUAGUCAAAUCACCUGCUUGAAAAAUAAAAAUGUUAAGACAAAAACAUAAUAUCUAAAAAAAUGAACUUGGGUAUAAUUUAAGGCCAUAUUUGGCCUAACCCAACCCAACACAAAUAUAUUAUAUUAUAAAUAUAAAAUAAUAAUUAUAUAUUUAUAUUCAAUCAUUAAUCCAAUAAUAAUUAAAUCAUUAUUCAAAGCCCAAAAAAAAACUUACCCAAUAAAAUAAUCCAACUCAAAUAUAACUUUUUAAAAUAUAUAUUUAAUGCAAUAAAAUAUUUAUUAUAUUUAUAAUAAUAUUUUUUUAAUAUAAAUGCUUUUCUUAAUGUAUUUUUAAUGUAUUGAAAAACUUAUAUUUUAUUAUUUUUAGUGCAUUUAGUAUAUUAUUUUUUCAAAAAAAUAUUUUCAAAUAAAUUAAUCUAAAAAGAAUCAAAUAUGAACAAACCAAGUCGGAUCCAUAUCUACCUUCUUAUUUUUUAAAAUUAAGCAAAACUUGAAAAAAAUUUUAAACCUAUUUUUCAAGUCAGGCCAAACUCUCUUAGAUGGACCCAACUUAAAUCUGGCCUAAAUGUACCCAACUUAAAUCUGACCUAAAUCUAACCCAACCCAUUUGAUAUAGUCACUUACUUUUCUUUAGCUUUCCACUCUUUUAAUCCAAUAGUGUUAAGAGUAACUCGAAUCAGAUGACCAAAAAUACAACAUUUAAAAAAUGCGAAGUUCAUAACACUGCAGGAAAAGAAACAGCCUCCAGAUAAAAGAGAAAAUGAAAAUGCAAAAGCCUUGUAAACUCGGUAUCACAGUUCUUGACUAGCAUGUAAGCUUCAAAGCAUACUUAUCAAUCACUUUCAAAAGUUGAAUAAAUGCUCCUACAGAAUCUGCCCGCACAUGUUUGCCAGGUCGGCUUGCAGAUUCACAAAAAUAGCUAAGAAAGAAAAAUACAGUGAACUAAUUUUGAGCUUCAAACGUGGUCCUUUUGAGGCGAUAACAUCCCCUGGAUUGUUGUCCUCCUUAAUCACCAAUAAGCUCUAGCAAUCAACACUGAAAACCGCAAGCAUAAGACACAACUGACACAGCAAGCAGACAAUCAAAGACAAAGCAUCCACACAAUAUAGCAAGUACAACAACGAAGAGUUGCUCCACAAAACAAAUGAUUGCUUCAAUACAUAAGCAACUAAUAAAGUUCUUGAAAUUUGAAAUUUGCAUGCCAUACAACAUACCACCAAAUCAAAAAGAUAUUUCCAAUAUAACCCCAGAUGAACUAUAUAGAUUUGAAGGAUUUCAAAUUGAACAAAAUGUUGUAGGGAAGUGGCUAAACAAUUCUAACCUCUUAAAAUUUUAUGAGCAAUGGUAAAAUAGAAAAGAAAAUUGAACAUCAUUAAGGGAGGAUAAGAUAACAUGAAAAGCCAAGUUUCAUAUGAUUACAAACGCUUUGUAUAUUAAAAAAAAAGAAAGAAAAUCAAGUUAUAAAUACUAGUAUAUGGUACUGUGGUUAACUCAAUAAUAUUUGGAUCCAUACAACAUGCCAAGUACUAACAUAAGAAUAAGGGAAAUUAACUUGCAUGGAAGUCUUUGAGAUAAUAGUCUAGUGGAACACCACAAAAUGCAGAGGAAUAUAUUAAGAAAAAUCCCAAGGAACCAUUACCAUUAAGUUUGUGUCUCAGUCUCUUUUGCCUCAACAUCAUUUGUAGUGCCAUUCGGCUCCCCAGCUUCAGUAUCCUCCGUCGGUGGCUGAACCUGCUCCUCUUCUGGCAAUGGUUCUUCCACGUAAUCAUUCUCAAAAGCAUCAGCUGGGACCUCAUAAAUCCUAACUUGAGGCUUUGAUGGAUCCUUCACAAGCACAUAUUUCCCCUCAUUCAACUUCAUACACAAAUCCACAAUGGACUUCACAAUCCCCCACAUAUUAGCAGUAUUCAGAUUAAUUUGUGCAGCAAAAUCCCUUGGCUUAUAACCAACAACACCCAAUAUCACAUGGUUAAAAUGAUCCCUAGGAUGAACCCUCGAAACAUAACCCAAUUUCAUCAAAUCGGCACUAGCUAAAAUUGAUUGAGCAGUCCAUUUAGCCAACUUAUUCGCAUUGUUCUUCAACUCGGUAGCCAAGACUGCCCCCCUUUGUGUUUCCAACUUCUGCCUCCAAUCAACACCAGAAUACUUGGGAUCAAACUCAUUAAGCGCAUUCAAAGUGAGGAAAGACUUUUGAUUAUUAACCUCAACAACACUCUGAACCUCACACCGUGCAAUCAAAUACAUAUCAUUAUCAAGUUUCCACCUCCUAUACCGAUAUGCCACAGAAGCCACCUCAUCACCUUCAUUGGCAAAUGGGUUCAGCUCAUCAAAACUAACCUUAUUCCCAUCCCUAACCAAAACCUGCUGUGAAAAAUUCUGAUUUAUGUAAGCUGCUUCAACACUCAAUGAAUAAGCAGAGUUAAUAUCAUCUUUAGCUUCAGGCAAUGGCUCCUGAGAGGUCUCGUGGACCGAUAGCAAAUCUAACUGUGACCCAUCUCUUUUGUCGAAAAAUAGUUUAUUCCCAACACGUUGAAUCACAAUGUCCCAAGAAUAAACUGACCUGGGUGCACACAUUAACGUUGCCAGAAUCGUAUCAGUGGCGAAAACAGUUGCUUUGUCCUCAUUUGCCAAUCUUCGGAUCACCGGGUCGUCAGUCGUGGUGACUUUAAAGAAGUUUCUGUUCUUGAACCUCUCGAGUCUCCGUUCGUUCUUCGGGGUAAUUCGAUCAAAGGACCGAUCGUAAUACUCUAAAGCACCGCAGAGAAGUAAAUCUUCAGGUUCUGGAACGGAAAAGGAUAAUUUGGAGAAUGUUGAGAAAGGGAUUUGAUCCAGCAUGUUCCACUCUGGUUGGAUAUCGACGGAGGAUUUGAAAAUCGCAGCUUCACGACGUUGCUGGUUCUGGUUCGAUCGGUUGAGAUUAUAAAGACGGUCACGUCGGGCUCGUUCUUUUUCAGCUUCUCUUUUACGGGCCUCAACUUCUUCAUCUCGCCGUUGAGGAAGUUGAGGUCGGUGUUGGUUGAAGCGCCACUUGGGGCCAAAUUUAGGUCGAGUAGGCGGCUUUGCGUCGACUAAACGAAAGGAAGAAUCGUCUUCGGGGUUUGCAAGAGGGAAAGUAUCGAGGUCGAGCGAGAAAUCGAAGGGGGACUCUGAGGAGGCUGCGCCAGGCUUCCCUGAAGAAGGGCGGUUAGAUGGAUUGGCAUUUGCAAAAGAUCGGGUGAAGUCGGCGAUUCGGCCGAGUUUUUCAGAGCGGGAGAAGGGAGCGAAAGGAACGUGAAGAGGGAGAGUGGUGGUGGUGGACGGCGCGGUGGCGGUGGUGGAGUCGGGCGGACCCCAGCCGUCAGGAUUAAACGGAACGGCGCCUACUUCGAAAACUCCUACCAUUGUCGACGGAUCUCUAGAUUUUUCUUGCAGUGGAGCCGAAGUGUAUAAAGAGUAAAACAGUGUAAGAAGAUAAAAGAAAACCCUAGACCGGCGGAGGGGAUUGUCUUAAAUGACAGGUUUAUCAUAGGAAUUUGGGCCCUUUGUUUAGAUUUAUAUGAGAACUCGGAUCUCUAAUUGGGCCUCCACUAUCUGAGUGCUACUCAUAUAAAUAUAUUUUAAGUGGGAAAGAAUCUGCUUGCACUAAUGCAAAACUUAAAAGCGGUUUUAUAUUUAAUUUUUAAGUAACAUUUUACUAUUAAAAUUUAAAUAUUAAUUACUUAGAUUAAGAGCUUAGCUUUGUAAGUGGCUUAUAUUAAUAAUUUUUUUAAUGUUAUGGCAAUAGUUUUGUCAAUGCAACAUUUAGACAAUAGUUGAACAUGGUUCGCAAAGGUGUGUCGAGAAGCACUAAACAAGGUUGAGACGAUAGUUGGAUGUGGUUCACACUAGUACACGAAAAUCUAUUAAAGAAGAUGUAAAAAGUUAGGUAGGGUUUCAACGGUGUGUUAAGUGCUUGGAGUUUUCUUAAAAACGAAGAGGGUUAUACAGAGGAGCUUGAUAUGGCUUUCACUAAAUAGGUAUCGUAUAAUGUAAGACCAUAUAGUGCUCUACUAGGAUGUGAUUCGUUAUACAACUUGGCCCUACUCUUAUAGAAUCAACAAUUGUAACAUCUCUUACACGAGUCAAAUCAAUAACUCGAGCAAAAGAUGUCACAUUUCAAUAUUAAUAUAUUACUUAAGUUCCAUUAUUAUCUUUAAAAUACCUCAAUACAUCCUUCAAAACAUCAUGUAACUCAUCCAUGUUCAAUCACUAAUCAUUAACCAUACAAUCUUCAAGACAUUCCCACUUCAACAGAACUUGUUUUCAAGGCAUUUUACUAUCUAUUUAACACCUUCCUUAUAUAAGUACAUGCCACAUUAUUGUCCAUAAAUUGAAAUUCAUACUUUUCCAUCUUACCGUGUUGAUGCAAUGUGAUUCGGUAAGCCACUCACGAACACUUUCCACACGAUCACUUUCAGUACACUCUUUUUAGCUAGAUUUCACUCCCUUUGCUACAUUUCUAUUCCUUUCACACUUUUAUCACUUUCUUUCCUUUGUCUACAGUACUUUCAUCACUUCUUAUCUUUGGUUUCUAUAUAAACUGUAGCAUCCCUAUUUUGGCGGGUCUUAAGUUUUGGCGCAUAGACUGAGAGUAAUAUAUGUGGCGUAGUUCUAUCCCCUCAAUAGUUUCUUUUAGGCGUAUAGAAUGGGUGCAUAAAAAAAUUUGAUAUAUUAGGUAAAUAAUGACCUUAAAAUGUGUUGAGUUGUAAAGAGAAAGAGCUCGAUAAAAGUAUUGAAGAAAUUGCAAGUUGGGUUAACACCAAAGAUAUUGUACGCCAAGUUUGGUUAAAAUUAUUGUGCUAGUUACGUUGUAAACAUUCUAGUUAGGGAUCAAUUGAGUAGAUGAGUUUGGUAUAAAUAAAUUUAUUGGAUGAUCAUUUAUGUUCUUCUCAAAGGUCGUAGACUAAAAUAAGGACAAUUCUGAAAGAUUGUGACACAUGUCAAGUUCUAUAACAAGGAUAUAGGUUGUAUAUAUAUGUAUUCAUACUUGAAAAAAAAAGGGAGUUUUCUUCUUCCUUAUUUUAAAGUGUUAUUAUCUUAUUCUUAAGGAACCAAAAACAUUUCUUUCUUCUUUAGGCUAGAAGUUAUAAUUCUAUAUUUUUAUUAGUAGAUACUCCAUGUCAAGGUAAGUAUUAUGACUCUGCAUGUUAAGUUAUGAAAGUUUAAGUCUAUAUGGGUACAUCAACAGUAAGAUGAAGAAAUAAAGCUUUGCAUGGGGGUUAUCUGUACUCGAGAUGAUGGUAAAUAGUAUGCGAAUGAGUUUUAAUGGUGUUCAUAUAUUUUGUAAGCAGUGGUUGCUGUAGUUUCAUGGUGGAAGUUUGAAUCUGGAGUUCAAGCUACUGUACGUGGGCAUAAGGUGAGUUUUAUGUUGACUUCUAUAUGUAUACUGAUCCUAUUGUGAGUCAUCUAUAGGAAAUUGAUUGAACAAUGGAUUCGAAGUCAUGAAAAGUAUAUUAUAUGAUAAUUGGUGUAUGAGUAUUGAAACAUUGAAGUUUGGAUGAGUAUGUAUAUGUUUGAAAUGUAUGCUAUGAAAUGUGUGUAUUUUGAUUGAGUGUAUAUUAGUUAAGUAAAAGGUUGAAUUUAGAUUGUGUCAAUACAUGAAGAGUCUAUCAAGAGAGUCUGGUUCUGUUCAUCGUGGUGGUUUCUAAUGGAGUUUGUUGGGACUAAAAACACGAAUUUUGAUAUGAACUCUGAAGGAAAAGUCCAUGGUCAUGGCACCCUUUGAAAAAGAACUAGGGAAUGGUGAUUGCCCAAUGGGGUUCUCUGUGUGUCCCAGGACAAUGAUGGGUAAACCUCACGUAAUGUAAGUUUAGGAAAAUCCAUAUCAUAAACACGACAACAAAGAAUAACCUUUGUGGCGAACUCUAAAUGGGUCGCUUUAGUGGCGUACUUUAUCUGAUUGCAUGUAUGGUGUGCUUUGCUAAGUCUAUGUGGCAUGAACUAUCAAGAAUAUUUGGUAAGCUAUGAAUCUGAAUGUCUGUCUCUUUUGUAAUAAGUAUGAUCAAGAUAAGGUAUUGAUAUGCUCUGGAAUAAGAGUUGAAUAAAGUCAUAAGGGUUCCGUGGAAAAAAUGUAUAUCUAUAUGUUAAGAAGGGCAUCUAUCAUAAUGAACUAUAAAUUUGAAAAGUGAGGGAUAUUGCAUCUUUUUCUAAAUUUAUUCUGAAUCUGAGUUAAUGCUAUUUUGAAUUAUGAGAUUCUGAUAUAGCAUGAUAUGGAGUUCAUAUGGAUGUUAUACAUGGUGAAUUAUCAGUAUGAAUAUAUGUGCAGAUCUGGAUCUGGAUCAGGAUAUGUCUGAGUGUGAACCAAUGGUAUGAAACUCUGCGUAAGUAUCCACCAUAUAUAUGUAUCCACCCAAGAUAAUGUCAGUGAGCAGUUGUUUGAAAUAAGAGUAUGGGUUAAGGUGUGGAUUGUUGGAAGUAGUUUCUAAGGGUAUGUUCUGUUAGAUAAGUAUUAUGAGACAAGAGAUUUAUGAAAUGAUUAGAAUGAUUCCUCAGUUAACAAGAUAUGGAAGAUUAAGUAUGAUAAGGAUAUGAUAACUGGUAUAUAAAAUAAUGAUAACAUUGUGAUGGUAUCAACAGAAAUAAAUGGUGCAGAAUAUGGUCGACUCAUAGGAAUUCAUACAAAAUUGCAAUGUAUCCAUAAAUGUAUGGUUAUAGUAGGAUUCACUAAGAACACUUAUACUUACAAGGUUUGUUGUUAUUUUCAGGUUUGUCGUUGAAAAGGCUUCGCAUGGAGGGACAAAGUGAUGACUAUGCUAAGAUGGUGGCGGAGUGGGCUAUUAUGCAUAUAGUGGAUUUAUGGUACAAUCUUGAAUAUGCCUUUUGAGUCUACCUUAAAACUAAUUUCUAACUUGUAAAGGCAUGUAUCAAAUAUGAUGUAAUAAGUUAUUUAUCAUAUAUUUUAUUUUAAAUUAACAAAUGUUAAGCUUUUCUUUUGGAGCUACAAAUAACAGUUUUAAAAUAAAUGAGACAUUGCAAACUAUUUUUGUUAAGUCAUUUGUAUUGUUUAGUAACACUUGAGAUCCGGACCCAAUGAAUUGAGUCGGGUUUUGAGCGUUACAGAAAUUUCUAUGGUUUGGGAUUGAAAAGUUAAAUUUUAUUAAAGAAUUGAAUUGUAAGAAAACCAAAAUUUUCUCUCUUCCUCCAUGCUAUGGACAUGUGAUGCAUGGAUGAAUGAAGAAAAUUAUUCAUUAUUCUCUUUUUAUAAUCAUAAAAUAAUAUAAAAUAUCUUAUAAUAAUAAUUUCAAUCCAAUGGCUAAUUUUUCAUCUCACUUUCCAUCAAAAUCCAAUGGCUCAAGAUGUGCCAACAAUUCAUGAUUAAUAAUUAUAAUAAAUAUAUUUAUCUUUGAUCCAAUGGCCCUUAUUAAAUCAUUCAUCAUAAAGCAAAUCCAAUGGCUCAAAUUCAAUACACUGUGUCUAAGAGCAUUUUGGUAAUUUUACCAAAAUUAUCUCACUUGCAAAAUAAUCAUUUUGCCUUUGAAAAUUUUUAAUAUAUACAAUUGAGCCAUUCCAACUUUUGUAUAAUUGUAACUUUAGUCUUUCAAAUUUUCUAUAUUUUAAUUUAACCCUUCAACUUUUAAAUAUUUAUGAUUUAACCCCUUUAGUUUUCAUUUUUUAAAAUUUAAUCCAUACCUCAAAUUAAUAUCUAACAACAUAUUACUUAUUUCAACUUCCUCUAGUAUCGAAUACCCUUGUUUACUAUUACUGAUAUAUCACAUUUCAUUUAAUUGGGAAAUUCCGUUAUGCAUAUUCCCAAUAUAACUCUUCACUUAUAUAGCACAUUGGUUUUACAUGAUUUAACUUUAAGAAAUUAUUUUUUAUACAAGUUUAAGUUAUAAAAAUUAUAUUAUAAGCAUGAACACAUAUAUGUGUUUGGGAUGAUUAUGUCAAAAAAUUUCUAAAAUAAUACUAUAAAUCUUUAAAAAAAAUUAUAUUGUAAAAAGUAAUUUAUGUGUAUCUUAAUUUUAUAAAAUUAUAAGAAAAAUUAUAUUAUGUAAAUUCUAAAUUUUUUUGAAGUUGUGGCUUAAAGGUAUAAUAUAAAAAAAAUUAUAAAAGCUGAAAGUGUUAUAAUAUACUUAUAUAUAAAAAAUUAUGGUAAAAGAAUAUGGAUAUAACUUAUUUCAUUACAUGCUAUAUGAUAUAAAAAAGUGUACUUGCAAACUCUUUAAUUUAAAACAUUUAAAGCUUUGAAAUGUGGUUUAGAGGAUAUUUGUUGUUCUAAAAAAGAUUUCCUAUAUUAACAAUAUCACCUCAAUAUAGCAUGAAAAAAAUGUUGGAUUGUAUUAGCAUGUUGCAAACAAAGUGUAUAUGGAAUAAGGAGAUCUUGAUAAUCUUAAUGACAUAUACAAAGCUUCAGAUUUAGAUGAUGAUGGGCUCGAUUAAGGACCAAGAAAUGAUGAUAAUGAGUAAUGGACAUGUAUUAAAUGUUAAAGAGGGAAUAGCACAAUAAUAUGGAGUGCUAGAGAAAUUAGAACAAAUUGCAUAUAAUAUUUAUUUUUCUUGUUAUUUUUAUUACUUGUCGUAUUAUCUACUAUUUUCUUGGACUAAUAUAUUACAUAUGAUGAUUUGAUUUUAAUUUUUGCUACUCGUUUAGAAAUUAUUUUAUCAUAUUGAUAAUUUUUUAUAGUGAUUAAUAUUUUUUAAAAUACAAAUUAUAUAACUGUGCAAUUACAACUUGUACUAUUGAACACGGCAUAUGAGAUUACGAUGUAAUUACACUCUAUCAACCAAAUAUACUUAGGGUAUUACAAUUCUUUGUAAAUUACUACCCUAGUAAUUACACUUUCAUCCAAUUAUUAUAUGUUAUCCAAACAUACCCUAAGGGUGCUAAUAAUUUGGAUUAACGAACAAGAUUAUAAUAAUAGAGGGGCCAAACUAGAUCAAACAAAAGUAUAUAGAUUAAACCGUAAAUGUAAGCAUAGUAGAAUGACCAAUACCAUAAUAUGACCUAAGAUAAUCUAUACCUAACGCUAAUCUUUCGUUUUACAUAGUGCUUAAAUGUAUAAUAAAAGUUAAUUAUUCAAUUUAUCUUUUAUUGAUUUAUAUAUUACAUAUUUGAAUAUUAGAUCUAUUAUUCGAUAUUAAUUUAAAAUAUUUAUUUGAUAUAUUGGCCGUGGAAAGUUUUAACUCCACAAGUAAGUUUGGGAUUUUGUUAUAUAUCUUUAAAUUGUAUUUAAAAAAUUAAAAUAAGAACGUGGUAAAAUCUCAACCCUACUUGUGGAAUAAAAACUUUCUAUUAUUGGUGUACUAAAUAAUUAUCCAUUAAUUUAUGGAGUAAAAAAAAUAUUCAUUACUUAAAUUCACUUUAAAUUUAACAUAAAAGUAUGAGAAUUAAAUUUCAAAUAUAAAAAAUUAUAAUUAAAAAAAUAAUUAAUCCUGGCUUGUAGUGUGAGUGCCAAAAUCACUAGUACAUCUAAAUUCAACUAUCACUUUGUUAAGAUAAUAUUUUUUUGAUGAAUUAUAAAAGGAGAAUAAAACUUUAACAACAAAACAACUAACGUGAUUUAAACUCAAACCAUACUUAAAAUAUUGAACACCCUAAUUAUGAUGUCAAUACAUGGGUUUUGCUAGGGGUGAGUAAAACUCGAUUCGACUCGAAAAAAUCGAAAAAAAAUUCGAAUUUCGAGUUAAACGAAUCGAGUUAUUCGAGUCAACUCGAAUUUUUUUUUCGAAUUUCGAGUUCGAAUCGAGUUGAGUUUUCGAAUUCGAAUAACUCGAAUAAUUCGAAUAUCAAACUAUAAUAUUUUACAUUUUUACCCCAAACUCCCAAACCUUUUUACUUUUCCCUUAAAACUUUUACUCCUUCCCACUUUCCCUUCAAAACUUUUACUCCCCUUCAAUCCCAACCCCCAAUCUACCCAAAAUCCAUUUCCCACUAAAAUUUUACUCUUCCAUUUACUUUUUCUCAAAAUUUUAUUCCCAAAAACACCCAAAACUUUUUAUUUUCCCCCAUAAUUUUUACUCCCUCCCAUUUUCCUCUUAAAAUUUUACUUCCUUUUAAUCUCACCUCCCAUCUACCCCAAAUCCACCCCCAAUUUUUUUUUAAUAUUUUCCCUCCAAAAUUUUACUCUUCCCUAUUUACUUUCCCUCAAAACUUUUAUCUCCCAAAACUUUUUAUUUGCCCCCUAAAUCUUUACUUCUCACCCUAUACUCUCAAAUAAAAAAUUAAAAUUAUCUAAAAAAAAUCACUAAAUAUAAAUAGUAAUAAUUUUAUUUAUAUCUACUAUUUAUAUUAUUAAAUUAAAUUUCACAUUUUAUAUUAUUUAUAUUAUUGGAUUGUUUAGUCAUAUUGAAUAUUUAUAUUAAAAUUAAAUUAUUAAUUAUGCUAUUAAAUAUUCAUGUUAAAAUUUUAUAUUGGUAUCAAUUUCACAUUUUAUCUUUAAAAUAAUUUUUAUUAAAAAAUCACAUUUUUACAUCUAAUAUAUUUUUUAAUUCGAAAAUACAUAGUGAUAAGAAUCUGAAGAUAAUUGAAGCAACUAAGCAAACAAAAAAGCUAACCCGUAUAUAAAAGAUUAAUAAAUAAAUUAUGAGGUGAUGAAAAUUAAUAAAAAUUUUAAUUAAGGUGGAUAAAUUUUAUUACGAUGGCUGACAGUGGUUACAAGGACCCAAAAUUAUUUUUUAAAAUUUAACUCGAACAAAUAUAUUCGAUUCGAUUCGAAUUCCAUCUCACUCGACUCGAUUCGAGAAAAUUUCAAAUAAAGUUAGGAUGAUAAAAUAAGAUUCGAAAACUCGAUUACCUCGAAAAUUUUCGAUUCGAUUCGAUUCGAUUCGAUUCGAUUAAACGCUCACCCCUAGGUUUGGCUGUACGGCAAAUUUGGUAAAGGUUAUAUUAAAAUAAAGUGUUUUUUAUACUUCUGCUUCCCUCUAUUUGCGUCUCAUCUAACCAGUUUACAAAUAUGAUGUUUUAAAUUAAUUGAAGCUAAAAAAAAAAAGGGCAAGCAAACGUCAUUCAAUACAUACAGAUGAAUCUAUUCUUUUUUCAUAUAUAGAAUAGAAUUUAUAUAAUUUUAACAAACAUACAUAUAUUGUAUUAUAAUAUUGUAUGAUCCAACUUCCUAAGAACUUCUCCAAAGACUUCCACAAUUGACUGACUUCCUUUUUGUUCAUAACAUAAUUGAAUUCUCAUUCCAUGUAAAUAUAUGUCCUGGUAUUAAUCUAAAAAGAACAAAAGGAAGUUUCACUGAAAAUUACAAACAUGCCUUUAUACUAAACUUACAUGCUUUUCUUAGGUGGGAAAACCUUUCCUUCCAAUCUUUCAUGAAUAUUAUUUUUUAAAAUUAAGUGAUUGUAUGAGUUAAAUCUCCUACAUUUUUUUUAACAACCAUCUUUCUAAUUGAUUAUAAAAAAGCUUUUCCCAAUAAUCUUAAGAGUCAAGUAUUGCGAUUCAUCGGUUCAAACAAGUUAAGGCUUUCUUUCUUUGCUUUAAAAUGCACUUUACAUACAAGACUAACGAAAAUAGAAACAAGUAAAAUAGGCUAAUAUUUAUUUGAAUUUAUAAAAAUUAAAAGAAAAAAAAACAUUAAUUCAUUAGAAAUUCAUAUGUAAAUAAAGGUGGCAUAUUUCAGGAAAAAUAGCUUCUGUGUUAUAUUCCAAAUAUUCAGUAACACCAUUUCCAACCUAAAACAACAAGAAGAUUUCAUAUGGGGAAUUGAAAACAUCAUUUAUAAUUUCAUAACAAUAGCUGUAGUUGCCAAGCAGCAUUAUUUCAUGAUAUACUAAUCACCAAGAGGCAUUGCUGACUCACAUUUCUAUAUCCCUACAACAGUUUAUAAGAUCAAUGAUUCAGAUUAUUUACCCCAUUAAUACAGUACCUUUCAGUACUUAUUGGAUGCAUCAGCAUCGUGGACAAACUUGUUCAAUCUUUGAGAUAUCCUAGCAGCUGUGGAUGGCUCCCCAGUCUACAACGUUUUCAACCCAAGAAUUUCAAAAACAAAACCCACAAACCAAUAUUCAUCAAAAAAAAGGGGGGGGGGUAAAUGAAUGUGAAGAAAGCACAGUAGCAAAGAGUACCUUGAGAUGAAUAGUGUGGAAAACAGUAUCAUCAUCGACAACAGAGAAAUUGGCAUUCACAACCUCGGCUCUUUCUUCAUGAACAAUACGGAUGGUUUCAUUGAAAAUGAACUGACUGUUGAAGCCAGUGUUCAAGGCGAUCGCCAAAGAAGAACCAAUUUCUUGAAUCUGGAUUUGAGGAGAUUUUGACCCAUAGCUGCGACUUGUAUUUCCCGUUUCCUCUAAUCCCCUUAAUCCGUCUUUCAUUUCCUUCAUCCUCUCCAAGUUUGCCUUUAAACGUUUUAUAUAAUUUGUAGCUUCAUCUAGUUGAUCAGGCAGUGAUAUUGCUUCCUGCAAAUUGAAUAAACCCCAUGCAUCAUGCAAUGCAAAUAAAGAGGGGAAGAAAAACCCCAGAUUUAGCAAAGAUCUGUGCACAUUUUGGAGCAAGUUCGUAUGUAAAAGAUUAAGAGAGAGAGAGAGAGGAGUAAACCCUAGAGCUGUGAUGUGGAACGAGGGAAUUGAGCUUAGAAUAGAGAGCUUUCAUUUGAAUUCUCCUGUUUCUCUCAAUGAAUUUCCUAUCCAUUUUUGAGGGAUUAGGGUUGUUGAUCUCCAUGGAUAUUAAAGUAUUUGCUUGAUAAGCAAUACUAAGCAGCUACCAACAAUACUGAAUUGAAAAGGACUACCUUUGUUUUAAAGGUCCCCUUACAUAUCUAUAUUACUCUCAUUCACUGGAUUAAUAACACGUGAAAUUUUAAGUAAAUUAAAAAUAUUUAAUUAUUUUUUAAUAUAAACAAUUAAUUAUUAAAUAUAUUUAUCUAUGUUAUUAUUUAAGCUUUUGAUUGAGUUUGUGUGAUGAGUCAAUUAGAUACUCAAAAAUAACUUAGAGUGUGUUUGAUAAACCAUUAAAAAUUUUCGAUAUUGGAAAUGAUUUUCAAUAUUUAAUAUUUUUAAUGUGUUUGAUAAUAAUUUUUUAUUUAAUAUAAAAUUUUUAACAAAAAAAUAUUGUUGAAUAAAAUAAGUAACUAGGUAGCUACUUAUCACUCAAUGUAGAAAAUAUUAAAUCAAUUUUAAUUUAUUAAAAAAUAAAUUAAAUUAUUUUCUAAAAAAUGAGAUAUUCAAAUUAUCAUAUUUAUUUUUUUUAUCUAAAAUAAUAUAAAAUAUUAUACUAAUAAGAUUAAAAUUAAAAAUUACUUUUAUCAAACAAUAUAAUUAUAUUCAAAAUUUAUUUUUACUAAUUUAUAGAAUAAUUUUUUAAUAAAAAUUCAGCACUUAAAAAAAUUAGCAAUAAAAAUUUCAUAUUUAAUUUUUUAACACUUAAAAUUUUAAUUUAUCAAACACAUCCUUAAUUAUAAGAUUACUAAAAAGUUUUUCUCAACAAAAUAAUAAUUAUGAUUUAAGGGUGUUUCUAUCCUUUUUAUAUUUUUCUUUUAUAAGAUAUUACUAUGGUGAGUUUUAAAACUAGAAGUAGAACACCAUAAUCCUCAUAAGUUCAACCAAACUUUAUUUUUAAUUUAUAUAAAUAUUUUAUAAAUAUAUUUUCUGGUGUCUCAUAAUUUAAUAUUAACAAACACAAUAUCUUAUAUAAAUAUGAUAAAAUUUUAUAUGCAAUACAAAUAUAUUUAAAAUAAUAAAUUUAAUCAUAUAUUAGUGUUUUUUGAUAAAUUUAAAAAGAUUAAUAUUUUUUGUACUAAUAAUAUAUAAUUUUAUGUAUUAUUAAUAAAAUUAAAUAAUUCGAAAUAAAGUUAAAUUUUAAAAUAUUUUGAUGUAAAACUAUUUUAGUUGAGAAGAAAGUUUGCUAAGUUUGAAGUAGUGGUGGAGUGACAUUGAUACUUGAAAAAGGUAUUUCCAUUUACAGAUGGCAAGUAUAUACACAAAAGUUUGUAUAUAUACAAAUAUAAUUUGACUAUUAGAUGGUAGUUAUAUUCCCAAAUGGAAUUUUACAAAAAUAAUAUUUUAAUUUAAGUAAACUUCUGAUAAUGUGCCUAAUUCUACUUUCCAAGAGAAUGAUGGUCCUUUUAAGGUAAAGUUCAUUAGAAAAUGACGAUCGCAUCACCAUCUGAUUUCAUAUUGACCAACAAUCUAUGACUUCAAAGUUUGGUAGUGGUACAAUGUUAUUUUGUUGGAAGAGAAGAUAUGUCCUUUGAAAUUUAAUUUAUAUAUUUUUAUUUUUAAAAUUUUAAAAUAUAAAUUUAACCCUAAACAUUAUUAAAAUUAUUUUAUUAAAUUUAUAUUUAUUACAAUGUUAUUUUUUAAAUAAUAUUAUUAAGUGAAUUUUUUUUAAAAUAUUAUACUGAUAAAUUUAACAAAAAUAUUUAAUAGUAUUAAUAAUUAGACUUAAAUUUUAAAAUCUAAAAAUUAAAAGAAUUAAACAACUUAAACCCUGUGAGUGAUAUAGAAUGUUACAAUACUGUUGCGUUAGUUGUUAAUGUUUUUAAUUCCAUUAAUUCUAUAUUUUUCGGUAAUUUAAUUUCUUGAGUUCAAAAUUGAGUGGAUAAUUAUUUAAAUUAAUUUCAAUAUUUUUUAACACAUUUGAAGAUAUCGAAAGACUUAUUUUUGUUUAAAAUUUGCUAUUUUGUUACUUGAUACGAAAAAUAAAUAGGCAUGUACAUAAUAAGAUAUAAAAGUAAAAUUGUGUAAUAUAUAUAUAUAAGUACGAGUUUUGAAAAUAUUUUUGAAUUGGUGAAAACACUUUUUAUUUUUUAUCCUAUUAUUAAAUUCAUAUUUAAAAAUAAAAAUUAAAGUAAAAUAGAAAUUGUGAUAAUUAUACAUUUAAAAAUAUUAAUUUAAUAAAAGUUUUCAAAAUUACACAUUUAAAAAUAAUUAUAAUUUAAUUUAUGAUUAUUAGUUAAAAAGAGUCAUGCUAAUUUUAAAAUAGAGUUAUUACUUGAAUAAAACUUUAAAGGUUAAUUUUGAAGAAUUUGCUAGGAAAAAAAUUUGAGAAAGUAGGUUGUUUUAUUUUAUUUUAAAUUUACUGAUUUACAUUGUUUUUGGAUAGAAAGGAAAACACGCCCUGUAGGACUAAUUUUCCAUUUGCUAAUUUUUUUUUCUUGCAGUUGGAAAUUAGAAGUUCGUGGAGUUGAGUGACUUACAAAUUUCAUCUACCAUGUGAGUAUGGAGCCAUCACCUAGGAAGCCAGAUCGUGUUGCAACUCCAGGUUCCAAUUGACGAUGGUUAUAUAGUUUAGGGUUGAAGUGUAACUAGGGCUUCAAGUUUACAAAAGUUAUACUGUCAAGGGAUAGAGCAUAAAUAGAGCCCUAGUUGACAAUGGUUAUGCGGUCACUACAACAUGAUUUUCCUCGUCAGAGGAGGAUGCUUUAUAAAACCCAAACAAAAGUACAAGAAAGAAAAAAAAUAGUGACGUUUUAGUAUAAUCAAGUAUUUUGUUUUAUCCAUGUCCACCAAAGGCGGUGACCCCGUUACUAUAACCUAUGAAAGAAUUGAGGUGUAACAUGUUUUAGUAAUAAGGUCACUACAUUUGGUGGGGAUGGACAACACGAAUUACUUGAUUAUACUUGAAGACUCUUGCAUUUUCCUUUCUUACACUUCUGUAUGAGUUUUAUAAAGCAUGCUCCUCUACUGAAGAGAAACUCAUUGUUGUGCCCGCAUAACCAUCAUCAACUAGGGCCCAAAUUAUGCUUCAUCCUUUGACAACAUAACCUUUGUAAACUUGAAGCCUUAGUUACAAUUCAACUCGAGAUUGUAUAAUCACUGCCAACUUGGACCUCAAGUUGCAAUGCGAUCUCGGCUUCUUAGGUGAUGAUUCCAUAUUCACACAGCAGGUGAAAUUUGUAGGUUACCGAACUCCACAACAUCACCAUGAACCCAAACACAAUUUAAAGUAUCACCGUGAACCCAGAUAGAAAUAAAUCUUUAAACUCAUAAAUUUUAACAUGCAAGAAAAAGAAAAAGAAAAUAAUUUAAAGAAGACUGAGAUAUGUUGGAGUAGGGGAUGAGAACGACCAUUUAUAUAAGGGAUGGGGCGGGGUAAAAGAGAAAUUUUUUAAUUUAUCCCAGGAAUCUCGGGUUGCAAUCUAUGAAAUUUAUCUCGGGAAUCUCGGGUUGCAAGGCUCAAAGGAAAAAGCAAUCAAGUUGGCUUGGGUGUUGAAAUGGCUAGAGAGAAGGACGUAUUUUCAACUGGCAUAGUAGUGAAAACACUUCUUGUAGGACGCAUUUUCCACUGAUAUGUCAAACAUGUGGCUUGCUGAAAAAUGCUACGGGGGAGUGUUUUCUCCCCCACAAAAUUAAACUUUAACUGUAUACCUUAAAAACUUGAAAUGCCCGAGGCAUGUGUUGUUGCUGGAAUUGUUUGAUGUACAUUGGGGUACGAGCUCUAUAAAAUAAACUCAAUGCAAUCCCUUGAGUUUCCAUACCGAGCUUUCAAGCAGAUUGUUUACAUAAGAAUACUUGGCAUUAGGAAUUAUCAAGGUUGUCGUGAAAAACUUGAAUUUCAUACUUACUUUAUUGUUGGCAUUAGGAAUAUUGACCAGGAGGUUGCAUGACUAUUGGGUCAUUGUGUAGAGCUAGAGCAAAUGUUGAUCCCCCCGCAACAUCUUCUCCUGACCUAAUAUUGUUGGGCCCUCUUCUGGUCUCCUACUACGAUGUUGCCUACUCCUUUCUGAAGUCGACAAUAGAUAUGACUUGCCGUUAUGCCUGAACCAAUUCAUGUAACCUGGAGAUGUCGCCAACUCUAGUGUGAGAAAUGGUUGACGCGUUGGCAAGUAAUCGUACCUAUGAUGCCAAAUCUCGCUAUACUUCUUGUGGAAUGUUGGCCAAUCUUCCUUGACUCUCCCUCACAAGUCGAUAUUAUGCAAGUCAUUGAGCUCUUAGGGUGGUAGUGGAAUAUGUUGCAUACACUUGAACUGCCGCAUCACUCUGUUAGAUCCGUAUAUUUCGACCAUUGCAAAAAUGAUUAAUGGAACUUUGACGUGCCAUAUGUUGCAAUUGACCAAAAAUUUGGAUGGGACGCAUUCUUGAAUCCUCAAAUCCACAUAUGACAUCCAUACAAACUGCAAUACAAAUUUAUAAAUUUUAGCACGUGUCUAAUAUUUAAUUACAAAUGUUGGAAUAAAAAAUCGAUAAAUUUGAAAUUCAUUAACUAACCUCCUCUUUGGUUUGUUGAUCUAACGCUAGCCAGAUAUCCUUGAGCUCGGUCGGUAUACCGUUGUGUCUCGCGAGAUUGUUCCACCUAUUCAAAUAAUUUGUUUUUUUUCAAAAUUACAACAAUGAAAAAUUAAAACGAUAAUGAUAUUAUCAAAAGAAUUUUACCAUAUUACGAGUGAAAAUUCAUAAGAGAGGUCCACUCGGGGGCAUAAAAAUGUUAGUCAAUACCAUGCCUCUGAUUGAAAAAGGAGCAUGCAAUUGCCGAUUUUAUCUUUUUUUGGUUUCGUUACUUGACACAUUUCUCGAUACAAUAUCGCCAGCACCGUUGAUCCUCAACUAAGUUGUCCCGCUUCUUUCAAGUCGGCUAGUAGUAGUAGCCACCUUAAAUGUACCAAAUAUUGAUAUUUAUAUGGAAUGAGAAAACCCCCGAUCAACCUCAAUAUGAAUGCGCACUUGAAUUGUUCUUUUUCAAUGUCAUUUCCGAAAGCCUCGAUAGUUUUGAAGUUGUCCUCCAACCAUCUUAUCUCGAUUCGGCUAUCCUUAAACUUGUUCGACACAUACCCUAGUAGUUACUCGCAUGUGCUCCAACUGGCACUAAGCACUGGCCCUGUAAUGACUUCUCCAUUGACUGAUAGACCGAGUUGUAAACUAAUGUCCUCGAGUGUAAUUAUACACUCACCACAGAGAAGAUGGAAUGUGUGUGUCUCUAGUCUCCAUCUUUCGACCAAAACACUGAUAAGUAGGGGAUCCAAUUUAGUUCCCUCGAGUAUGCGAGCCACUUUUACAAAUCUUGCAUCUCGCAAGUGUCCAUAAAUGACAUCCGAUGCACCUUCGCUUAAAUUGUUUAUGUACGUUUCCAAAAUCCAAUCUUUAGGUUAAGUAUUAAACAUAAAAAAUUAAUAAUGUUAACAACAUAAUAAUUAACUAUUUAAAAAUAAAUAAGUUAAUAAUAUUUUCUUACCAUUUGUAAUUGAACAUUGGAGAUAUGCUUGUCAUCCACAUGAAUAAGUUGAUUUGCUAUUUUAAAAAUUACAAGGAGUAAAAUAAAAUCGAAGAGAAUAAAAUUCAGAAAUUUUUUUUUUAAAAAAUAAUUACGAAUUGAGAAUUGAUGAUUGAGGAUUGAGGAUUGAGGAUUGAGGAUUAAGUAUUGAUUUAAAAAGAAUGAAGUUUGGAGGGGUUUAUAUAGGGAAAAAUUAUGGUUGUUGGGGCUCUUGUAGCCGUUGGAAUAGUUACAAUUGAAAGGAAAACACGUGUAACAACCCAUUUUCAAUGGUGUUGAAAACAAUGGCUUCAGGACCAGAAAUUUGAUGAGUAAGUCCGUAAUAAUUAGUAUUUAAAUUACAUGAGCCAACAACAAUUUUUUAUUGAAUUUUUUACUUAAUGAAUUUUAGCUAAUUAAAUUAAUGGCUAAGUAUAAGUGGUUAUUCCGAAAGUCAAGUGGUUUCACUAAAUGAGGUAUCAGAACCUCAUUAUGAAGGUUCGAUUUAGAAAUUUUUAUGUUUGAAUAGCUAACUAAUUAAAAAGGAUUAACUUGUAAAAGACGUAAAAUUUAAUCACUAUUGAAUUUUAAUGAUUUAAUGGUUUAUUUAGUAAUUGUAAAGGUUUUAUCUUGCAAAUAUACCAUGUUAUAAACUAGUGGACGAUUAUAGGUUUGUGAUUAGUUAAAAUGUAUGUUUAAAUAAAAGGUAAACUAAUAAUUAAUUAAUUAUAACUUAAGUAAAGUAAAAAUAAAAUUUUAUCAUCAUCUUCUUUUAACAUUAUACUCCAUCGAAAAUAGAAAAGAAAACACCAUUGAUGGAUUUUGAAGGUUCAGCCUGUAUUGCUUGUGAAUUCGUUUUGAAUUCAUUUCUCGUAAUUUUUAUAUUUUUGUAAUCGUUGUAGCUUAAUCUAGCUAACUAGGGGACUAUUUUGUAAAAUUUUUAAAGGUUUUGGAAUUUACCAUUGAUGAAUUCUAGGUAUUUUUUUUAUGUUAAAUGAUGAAUUUGUAAUCUUGGUUAUGGUUUAGAAAUAUUUUGUAAAGGAAUUUUUGUUAGUUUUUAGUUAAAAGACUAAGUUAAUAAAAUAUUACAAUUUACAUGGAAUUCUUAUUAAUUUUGAAAAAUUAUGGGCUGUACUAGUUUAGAAAGAAAUUCAGCUAGCAUAGGAAUCUAUGAAAUUUUAGUAAAUUUGGAAUUUUGGAUUUAGGGACUAAAUUAUAUAAAAUGUAUAAGUUUAGGAAAAAUUUGUAAAUAUAAAAAUUUAAGGGUAUAUGCAUAGAAAUAAGUUUGAUGGUAUAUUUGAAAUUCAUAUAUUGAAUAUAAUCAUUAUAUAAAUCAAGAAUUGAAUAGUAUAGAGAUUAAUCGGGGAAAAGAGAAAGUUGCGGAUUAGUUUUUCCGAGUGGAGCGAAAGCAUAACAUAGGUAAGUUUAUAGUGCAAUAAUAUGUAUAUGUGUGUUUUUUUAUGAUUAUAUAUUAAUUUCUAGUUAAUUGUAAUAAAUUUGAAAUUUCAUUAUUUAGUUAUAAAUUUUUAAUUGUUGUAAUUAAGUGCAAAUAGAAAAUGAAUAUUUGGUAGUGGUAAAUCUUGUGUUGCACAAUAUUGAAAUGAAUGUAACAGAUUUAUGGCAUGUGUACGGAAAUAAGAAGUUCCUUUGAAUGGUUGAUUACUGAUAUUAUGAAUUUAAGUAUAAUGCCCGUUUGAACGUAGUAAACGGCUAGGAUACGAUUGGCAUGCCAAUAGGAUUAGUAUGCGCGCUUGUGUGAGAUUGUACUUCGGUGCCUCAAUUUUCACUUAGGUGCCUCUGUAUUUGCACUACGGUGCCUCUGUUAGUAUUUCGAUGCUCUCUAGUGUGUUUUGGGGAAAUCUGAGUAUCCAAGUCAAUUUACGAAAGUUCAACAAGCCAUGAAAUUUUAUGUUUAAAUGUUAAAUUACUCUUUUAGUUGGAUUUAUGUAUAACGAUAUGUUUGUGUGUAUAUAUAUGGAAGCAUGGAUAACUUUGGUUUGAGCCAUUGUGUGUAUUGAAUUAUAUGAUUGAAUGUUUUGAUACUAAUGAUAUGUGAUUUUGGAAAUAGUUGUCAGGAUUAUAAUGAUUUAAGAUUAAUUAGUGAUCAUUUAUAAGUUAAGGUAAGUUAAAUUAAAUUUUAACUAUAGACUUACUAAGCUUCAUAAGCUUACUUGUUUUGUUUUGUUUUCUAUAGUUAACAUUUUGCAGAACGGGUCUGACGGAUCAACUUCAAUGCUUACACUAUCAUAACUCUUUUCGUUAGCUUUUUUAUUUGGGUCAUUUUGGUUGUGGCAUGUGCAAAAGGUUUGAUAUGGUUAAGUUUAACAUGUUAGUUGAAUUGUAAUUAAGCUUAUAUGGUUAUGAAUUGGUAAACCAUGUUUCAUUUUGAUGCUAUUUUGGUAUGGUAAUGUUGUGCCCUUGUUUAGACAUUGUUUUGAUUUGGUAUCUUUAAUGAUUUUGGAAAUGUGGUAUAUCCAAUUUGAUAGGUAAUUCAUGAUGUUGGACAUGUUUGCUUUGCUUUUCGUAUGAUUUUUGGUAUUUGGAAAUUGUAAACAUGGUUGUUAAUUGAAUAGUAUGUGUAUGAUGGAAAUCUUUUAAGUGAUAUGUCUAUUGUAUUUGUAUAACAAUUGUGGUGUCAAUGAGGACAUAUUGAUUUGACACAUAAAUUGUAUGAAUUUGGUAUGUUAUUUGUGUGUUUGAAUGUGUUUUAACCAUUUGAAUGUGUGUGGAAAUGGUUUGGUUUGAUACCCAAGUAAGUAAGGUGGAUUUGGCUUGUAUUAGGGGUCAUUUGGGGAGCACAUGGCCUGGGACACAGGCUGUCACACGGCGUGUGCCGCAUACGGCGUAUGCCGCACACGGCCACCCCACAUGGCCGUGUGUCUUUUAAACUUUUAGGUGCUGGAUGAACCACACAGUCUCAGAUAGUUACACAGCCUGGUGACACAGUCAUGUAACCUGACUUUGAAUGCACACACGGUCUAGCACACGACCUACGGCAUAGCUGUGUGACCCUAUUUCGAAUACCUACACAGGUGAACACAUGGGUUAGGACAUGGUUGUAACACCCCUAACUCGUAUCCGUCGUCGAAAUAGGGUUUCAAAUCAUUACCGAAACUUUUAGAAACAUUUACAGAUAAAUCAUGCAAGUUACUAUUCAAAUUCUAAAAUCAUUCAUAACGUUCCAUAAAUGGACCCUCGAGGUCCAAUACGAAGAUUAGAAUAAAGUUGAGACUUAAUCUGGAACUCUAAGAAUUUUUCAUGACAUUUUAAAAAUUUUUCCAAGGUGCAAGGCUCACACGCCCGUGUGGUCCAAGGGACACGCCUGUGUAACCCUAGGACACGCCCAUGCUACAGGCUGUGUUCGACCCCAUGUAACUUUCUAACUUGUGCAAACGGCCAUACCACACGCUCGUGUGCUAGGCCAUGUGGUUAAUUAAUUUAAUUCAAAAUUAGGUGUAAGUUUCACAUGGCCAAGACAUACGCUCGUGUUCUAGGCCGUGUAGCACACACGGCUGAGACACACACCCGUGUCUCUGCUUGUGUGCUCAAUUCUGAGCAUUCUGUUUCUCAAAAUUAACGUGCAGAAGACACACGGCCUAACCACAUGCCCAUGUUACCUGGCCGUGUGUCACACACGGUCUAGACACACGCCCAUGUGUCUGCCUGUAUGGACAAAAUGAAGCCAUUUCUAGCUUUAUUUCUCACCCAAAAUUUCACCCAAGACCUACACUUGAAACACACAUCCAAUACCAAUCAUUCCAAGCAUUCAAAUUAAAUAAUUCCAUCAUUCAUCAUGGCAUACCAUUACAUGCAUAUGUGUUUAUAAACUUACUUUAGAUUAACUUAGGCAUUAGCAUCAUUUGAUCGCAUAUACUUAGCAUAUCACAUAUGAAUAUAUCAUAAUAACCUACUUAAUCAUACCAAAAUAAGCCAUUACUAGCCAUUCCAAUGGCUAGAUUACAAGCAUCAUUUACAUUUACAUGCCAAUAUGGCCAAUAUAUCCUAUACAUGCCAUUACAACCAUAAUUGAUUUACCAUAUUAUGCCAACAUGAGUCGAUGGAUAGUGUGAGUGAUCUCUGCCAAGCUUCCAAUCCAACGAGCUACCAAUUCACUAUAAAAUAGGGAAAUAAAACUAAAUAAGCAUAUAAUGCUUAGUAAGUUCGUAUAACAUGGUACUUAACUUACCAUUCAUUCUAUUUUGAGGUAACUAUGUAAGGCAUAUUUAAUCAAUUUGCCCUCAAGCCCUUCACAUAUCCUCAUUGCCCUUGUUAGUCAUAUAAUCCAUAAUAACAUUACAAACAUAUAUGGGCUCAACAACAAUCAAGUUUCCAUGCACAUAUGCUUUCCACAACAUGUAUUCAUUUAACAUGUAUAAAUCAUCUCUUUAUAUUACAAGUAUAAUUUCUUCAUAGUUCAUCUCGAGUCCAGAUCAUUUCUUAUCAGAACUUUACCCAAAUUACUCAAAAUAUUAAGAUCGCGAUUAGUACACUCAGGGUGUACAAGUCUAUAAUCAAGGAUGUACAUACUCAUCAAAUCAAUGCCAUGUACAAUAUCAUCAUUUCAUAUUUCCAUAUAUCAAUUAUCACGUAUCGUCAUUUUCAUGUAUUUCAAGCUGAUAUGUGUAAUAACUCAUUUCUUAUUCAUGUCUUCUCAUGUCAAGAACUUUUUCCUGUUGAAUUUAUCUAAAAUAUCGAUGGUUACACAAGUAGUACACUCGAGGUGUACGAAUCAGAAUCUGUCAAUUCAUGUCCAAUGGUACCCAUAGGGUACUGUAUCAGAGAGUACCCUUUCGAGCCACACAUGUAUACGACAGGAUUACCAGUUCAGACUAAAUUCUUUUUAUGACAUAUGCUCUAAAGAGCUUGAUCUAGAUUACCCAUCCGGGCUAAAUCCAAUUCAUAACAUAUGCUUGAGAGGAUUUAUAUCUGGAUUACCUGUCCGAGCUAAAUCCUUUCAUAAAUGAGGUCAAUAGGAUUACUCGUCUGAGUUAAAUCCCAUAAUGUAGGACCUCAUUCAUUUCGAGAAAUCACAUAUCCAUCGAUAUUCAUUUAUUCAACGAGAUUUAACAUUUUCAAGCAUUUCCUGGCAUGUAAUUAUUUCAUACAUCUAUAACAUUCAUAUAAUUUAAAUGACCAUAUUCCACAUUCCACAUUCAUUCCAAGCAUAAAAGUACCAUUUUUCUCGUUUAUCCUUUAUCAGAAAUUUUCGUUAAUCGGGCUUUGUCAGGUAUAUUUUCAACGUCAUAUACAUAUAUGAUAUUUAUACAAUUCACAAACACAACACUUAAUUCAAGCAUAAAAACAUAAAAAAAUUUAGUUACAUUAACUUACCUCGACAAUUGUUCCUGUACGAAAAAUCUACUAAUCUGACUUUUUCCUCUUCUCAUUGUUCUAGCUUCGAUUUUGGUCUAUCCGGAUCUAUACGAGUAAAUUUGAAAUCAAUUUAUCAUAUUUUAUAUUCAAGUGGACUCAAUUUUUAUCCUAGGCAAAAUUACCAUUUUGCCCCUAACUUGUCCAUAAAUUCCUAUUUCGUCCUUAGGCUCGGAAAAUGAAAUUUAUCCAAUUUACUCCUUAUUCCAAGCCUAACCAAAAUUUAUAUGCUACAUUUACAGCACAUAUAUUUGACAAAUUUUAGAAUUUUUCAUGGGUUUUAUCACUUUUUCAUUUUAAUCCCUAAAUCAAGUUUCCAUCAAAAAGUUGCUUUGUAAAAGUUGUUUAUUUAUCAACAACCUUUCAUUUUCUACCAUAAAUUUCAUAUUUCCAGCAUAUUCAUCCAUGACUAAAAUAUCAUACUUUGAUAACUUUUCAAAUUAAUCCCCCAAAUAGAUAGAUUAGACUAUCCAGUUUCAAAAAUAUAAAAAUUACUAAAAAUAGGGCUUGAUUAUUUACCCAAAUAAGCUUGAUAAGUCUUUUUCCUCUCUCCAAGGGUUUCCAUAGAAAUAUUUGGGGAAGAUGAUAUGAAAUUUUUUUCUUUUACAUUUAAUUAAAUUUUCAUUUAAUAACCUUUCAUCUUUCCAAUUUAGUUCUUAGCAUUUUUUUAUUUUUCCAUGGAUGAGUAAUACCAAAAUAUCUACAUACUUUCUUUAAUGGUCUAAUUACCAUAUAAGGACCUUAAGUUUUGAAUUCCAUAGCUAUUUGAUCCUUUCCGUAAUUAAACACUUAAUCGAUAAUAUUUUUGUAACACCCCGAACCCGAGAUCGUCGCCGGAGUCGAACACGAGGUGUUAACAGACUUCAAACCACUUAUUAAAAAUUUCCCAGACAAGUUGUCACUCUGCGUACUAGUCGCUUUAAAAAUCAUAUCUUGAGUUCUGAAACUCAAAAUCCAGUUCUGUGAAUUUUACCUGAAACUAGACUCAUAUUCUCAUCUACAUAUUUUUUUCUAGAAUUUUUGGUCGAGCCAAUUAGUACAGUUUAUUAGUCAAAGUCUCCCAUGUUACAGGGAUCGACUACACUGACCUUUGCGCAUUACGACUUGGAUAUCUCCCUGUACAGGGCUUCAAUACUGAUUUCGUUUGUUUCUAUAGAAACUAGACUCAAAGGGGAAUCUAUGAAAAUAUAGCAUGACUUCUAAUUAUCUCUGGUUAAUUUAUAAUGAAUUUCCAAAGUCGGAUUAGGGAAUCCAGAAAUCACUCUGGCCCUGUUUCACAAGAGUUUAAUUAUCUCCUAACCUACAGCUCAUAUGGUCGUUUCGUGUCUUCUAUAUGAAAAUAGACUCAUCGAGCUUCGAUUAAAUAAUUUAUUCAUUAAUUAAUUCCUCUCAUACUAUUUUUAGUGAUUUUUCAAUCUCACGUCACUGCUGCUGCCAGCAUCUGUUACUAAAACAACUAUGCCUAUUUCGUGAUUUCUCCUUGAUCUAACUAGUAAUUCGUCAUACAUAUCACAAAUUAUGAUCAUGACUAGCCAUGCCAAAGGCUAAUCAUUGUCAAACAUCUCUCUACUACACUAUUGCCAUAUCAUGAAUUUUAAUACCAAAAAUAAUCAACCAUGACAUAUGGCAUAAAAAUCGAAUUUCCAAGACUUACGACCUAACAUUAUAGAACCAAAUCCAACCGAACAUUUAUGCCAUUUUCGCAUGGCUAAAAGUUUACAUACCAAAUUUCAACAAAACAUAUUAGCCUAUACAUGCCGAAAUGUUCUCCUAGACCCACUAAAAAGAAGAUACCAAAAGUUGCUAGCCGGUGUGAUGACUUCGAUGACGGCCCGAUCACGCAAAAAGAGACGAGUCCAAGAAACCUAGAAUAGGUGACAAGGAAACACCGAGUGAGUAUAUAACUCAGUAAGUCAUAAGCAAUGCACUACCAUCCAUUAAUAACAUUAUCACAAGAGGAAACAAAAUGGAACGAGGCUAGUUACUCCAUCCAUACCGAACCAUGCCAUAGUUCCUCAGAUCUAUCGGUUCAAUCUCAUACCAAAUCAUGCAUUCACAUUCCAUAUACUAAUCAAUAGGAUAUUUGAGGCAUUUUCAUACAUCAUUUUAUUUUCGUUACAAUCAUACAACUAAACGGCCUUUCACCUAUUCCACGAUAAAUCUUAUGUACGUGACUUCAAGUAUAAUUGUCACAUAGGUUCAAACUUACCAAGCUCAACUCCAAAUAUAAACAUAGCGCCUAUUAGCCAUGAACUCAAGGUACUUACCCGAUCCGCUGUCCGUGAUCAACUCAAUAAUGUCGCACACUUAGUGUCCAUAGUGAUUCAAAAAUAUAUAUUAAGUCCGCACACUCAGUGCUAUAUAAUCAACUCGCACACUUAGUGCUAUAUAAUCAAACUCGCACACUUAGUGCUGUACAAUUUAAACCCGCACACUUAGUGCCAAUCUCAUGAUCAUAAAUGUUUAUACCCGCACACUUAGUGCCGAGAUCAACAACUCAAUACAUCUCACCUCUUUUCUUUUCAUUCAACACUUUCAUCACCACAUGCAUACAUGUAUAUAAAUUUAUCAUUCCAUUCGGCAUAAUUACAUAGACAUUAUGUCUAUUUAGAUCAAUACAAAAUAUAUGCUUAAUGACUUACCUUGUGUUGGGUAAGACGGUUCCAACUCGGUUACUCGAUGAUCUUUUCUUUGCCCUUGCUUGCCUCUCCACCUUUAGCUUCUUGAGCUAAAUCGAUAAAUUAACUAGUUUAACCAUCUUGCUAAACAUUCAUACUUCAAUUACACAUGCAUAUGUAUGUUUGUAUAUUCGGCAAUGACAAUGGUAAUUUAGCAAACCUUAAUUUAACUUAUAAUUGUUCAUAACACAUUUAAAGCAUCCACUCCAUUCCAUCAUUUUAAAGCACAUACAUUACUCAAUAUUAUCCAAGUUCACAUUCGGCAUUUUCACAAAUACACAUGCCGAUUUCAUUCACUCAUCUCUAAUGUUAAUUAAGAAAUGCCGAAUGUCACCAACUAAAUGGCAUACACACACUCACAUGCAUAAAAGUCAUCCACACCUCCUAUAGCUCAUUCGGCAUUCACAAAAUCAUACCAUUAGAAUUCAUGUACAAUACCGAACCUUUAGACAUUCAAACAUCUACUCUAUUCUUUUCAAAUCAUCUAAAUGGCAACACUCACAUUCUAGCAUUUAAAUACAAAACAUUUAUUCAAGUAACUAAGCAAGUCCAAGUUCGGCUAUUACACAUAUAAAUACUAUCAAAUUAAAUUUUUAACUAGAUCAAACAUCUCUCAUCAACAUUUAUUCAUCAAAACAUAAAGAAAAUAAUCAAAUCUCUUCAUUAACAACCAAGGCCAAAUGCUCCAUUCACCACCCAAAUCCAAAUUUUUAACAUGGGCAAAGUAAGAAACUUAGUAACCAACUCAAAAUAAGCUAAAAUUUCAAAAUCUAACAUGAAUUACUAACCUUGUUUUAAGCUUAAGAUGGCCGAAUGCUAUAUCCCUUUUCUUCUUUAAAGUUCAGCUACUAAGGAAGAAGAUGAAACCAACAUUUUGUCUUUCUUUUGUUUUUCUAUUAUCCUUUCUUAUUUUACUUAAUUACUAACCCUUUAUUUUUCUUUCUAACAUAACACACUAAGCCAACAUGUUCCCAACAUGUUUCCACCCAUAGCAUGGCCAACCACUAGCUCAAAUUUUGGGUAAUUUGACAUGCAAACCCAUCAUUUUCAUAACAUGCAUUAAUAGGCCACUUCACAUUUGCCUAGCACAUUUCUAAAUUUUCUCACAUAAGUCCUAUUUAGUAAAAUUCACUUACAAUUAACAAAAUUCAAACAUGAAAUUUUCACACAUGCAUAUAUACAUAUAAUAAGUAUCAAAUAUGAUGGCUAAUUAUUAGUAUGACUCGGUUUUGUGGUCCCGAAACCACUUCCCGACUAGGGUCAAUUUUGGGUUGUCACAAUUUUCGUAUCAAAAUUUUUACAUGACAUGUUUAUCAUAAUACGGACCAUAUAAUAUAAUAAAAAUAAAUUUUAUUUUUCGGCUUGAUUUUUUGGUCCUGAGACCGCUGUUCCAAUUUCACUGAAAUUGGGCUGUUACAAUGGUCAUGUGUCUUAUACUUCGAAUUGUACAAUGUUGGCCACAUAAUCUUGUCUUUGUGCCAUAUGGCCUGGUCACACGAUUGUCUGACCCUAUUUCUAAAAUUUUCGAAAUUUUCUUAUUUAUUUUAAAUUAGUCCCUGAAGGUUCCUAAACUAUUUUUAAGGCCCAGUAAGUUGGGUUUAAGGCCCGUAAAUGUACUUAUGCUAUAAAUGUAAUGUGUAUUUGUUAAUGUUAGUAUUUAAUCUAAAUAGUAGUUUCUAUUUGAAGUUAAAUGUUCUGGAUUGUACUAUAAUGUUUUGUAACCCUAAUUAAAUAAUGAAGAUAGGUUAUAGUUGUUACAUUUAGUGGUAUCAAAGUUACAAUUUAGUCGGUUCUAGGACUAAUGUAGUGCAUAUCGAGUCUAGAAUAUACAUACCACAUAUACCCUGCAAUAGUGUGAUGCUUUUGAUUCAUUUUGAUUCGUUUUUUCUUAUAGAUACAAGAUGUUGGCUGAAUCAAAUCAUGCUGUAGCAAAUGAAGAUGAAAGUAAUGCCCAAGCAUCCAAUUAGGAAGCAAGUCAAAGUGUGUUAGUUCUGCAAUCAUUUGAUAGUGAAAUGAGAAAUAUUUUUUACGAAAUGAUGAAUCAAUGGUUUAGUGAUUUUAUAAGAGCAAACCCUAGGCUCCGCAACAUCCAGCCUCGCCUGUGCCUCCUCUAGCACCUCUGUGUCCUCAAAAUCUAGCACCUGCAAUAGCUCAUUGCUAUCUUAUUGAUAAAAUUUAUAAAUGUGGGGCUGAAGAAUUCAGGGGUAAAGUUGACGAAGAUCUUUCUAGAGUUAAUUAUUGGCUUAAGAAUAUAUAGAAAGUAUUUGCUAAACUUAUGUGUUCACCCGUAGACAACCUGAAAUGUGCAAUUUCACUUUUGAAAGAUGAAGCAUACUUAUAGUGGUGUACGUUGACAACUAUGGUUCCAAAUUAUCGGGUUAAUUGAUAUUUCUUUCUAACUGAGUUUAAAAAGAAAUUUUUUAGUUGGUUAUAUCUAUGUAGGAAGAAGAAAUAGUUGCUCAAGAUGAAGUAAGGAAAUCGUUCAAUAGCAAAGUAUGAACGAGAAUUUAUUUGUUUAAGUAUGCUCGAAACAUCGUAUCAUCGAAAGAAGAAAUGUGCAUUCAUUUUGAAGAUGGACUAAAUGAUGAAAUCUGAAUGUUAGUUUGAGCUUUAAAGUUAUGAGAAUUUGUGGAGCUAUCAGAACGCGCGCAAAAAAUGAAGGAAAUUUGUAUAAAUAAAAAACAAUCAAAUAUGAAGUCUCGAGAUUUCAGUAAAAGAAGGCCAUCCAAAUUAGUUCAGACUCCUUCGUCAAAGAAAUUUCGUAAUAAUGCUAGUCAAUUUAGUUCUCCUUCAAGAUUUCUAUAACGCCCCAAUUUUCGGGAAUUAUGUGUAUAUUGGCAAAUUUAAAAUUUCUGUGUUUUGUCUGUUUGGCGUAGGUUUAAUUAUGUUAGUGGGCCUCUAGAAGACCCAAGAUUAAGUUAAAACUCGGUAAAUUUAGUUAAUUUUAGUUCCAUAGGAAAAAGGGGUUCUGGUUAAUUGGGCUUUUAAGUAUUAAUUGGGUAAAAUAAAACACAAAGAAGCAGGUGGCAAAGUGGCAUGUGACGCCACUGGGAAGGCUAUAAAAGUGACGUGUGGAUACUAGGGAGAGCUGAGGUUCAAGUCACAAUGACAGCAUAUUAAGGGAAUUAUUUUUUAUGUUUAGAAAGGGUAAGCAAUGGAACUCAAGUAAAAGACUGUCAGGAGGAGUUUGAGUUGCUCAGGUGAUUGAGUAAGGAGGGGAUAAGGGAGGAGAUUUAGGAGCUGAUAAGGGGAGAAAAUCAAGGAAUCUGAGUAUGAAGUAGGAGUUGGCCGUAUAGGGGACUCUGCAAGUGCACAUUCGACUAGGGCACCUUAUGUUGGGAAUUUUGGCAUUUGGUGUAGGGCUGCCGAAUUCUUUUGUAUUUCGGGACUAGGUUAUUUAGUUUGUUCUGCCAAAAAUUAGGUUUCUCUUCUCUUCCCUUUUAUUUUUGCUAAAAAUCGAAGACUUCACCUGUGCCGACUUCACAACCACAAAACUGAAUUCUCUGCUCAUCUUUUCUUUUUCUUUUAGCCGAACCUAGAAACCCCUCACUGUGUCAUUUUCUCCAUAGCAUGUCUAGGAUUGGAUCCGAAGGGAGCUUGGUACUUAAGCAGUCCGAUGGAAUCACCUCCUCUUUUCCCGGUUUCCUACUUGGUGCACAGCUUCCAUUCACUUUAACCUAUAUUGAAAUUAUCUUUUAAAACACUAAGUAAGUUUUUCUAGAACAACAACCUGAAAUGUUUUGAACGCUUCGAUGUGGCACGUCGGAUCCGGCCAUAACGUCUAGGCCGGGUUUGAGGUGUUAUAAUUUCACGGUGUCAGAGCCUCGGUUGCAAUAACUCGGCUGUGGAAUGGGUUUACAAAAACAAAGAUUUUUAGAAACAAAAAUUUUAUGAAAAAAAACUCGGUUUUCAAAAUUUAGAUCCUUAGAAGGUGGCAUUUCGAAUCUCCGGCCCAAGCCUGUAAGUAUUACUCUGAAAUUCUCUAAAUAUUUUCCUGAAUUAUCUGUCUGUACUGAAAUCCUACUAGGAUAGGAUGAUACUGAAACCAUAGGAAAUUUUGAUAAGAGACUGAAACUGUAGUUAGACUUCGAUUCUGCAAAAACAAACUUUGAAUUACUGUCUGAUUCACAAAACAUCUAUAAUAAACAUUGGAAUAUUGAAUUAAUGCAUAAAAAUUUGUAAUCAGAUAAUACGAUAUGAGUAUAAGAGCCGCUCGUAGAAGAGGCCAUGGAUGGGGCCGAGGAAGUGCUCGAGCAAGAUCUUCGUCUUCGGGACAUAUGCCGACGGCGGAUGCACCGGUACCAUCGGCAACAGAGGUGGAGUCUCAUGACUGCAAUGUCGGGGAUGAUGCCCUGUCACAGGUAAUGCUUCGGGUUCUGGAGAGGGUUGCCGGGGCAAGUUUGGGCAAUGGAAUUUGGGGAUCUAUUUCUGAGUGACUUCGGGCUAACGGAGCAGAGAUCUUUAAGGGUGUGUCUGAUGUAGCCUCGAAUGUGGCAGAAUAUUGGUUGGAGGCCGCAGAAUGGAUUAUGGAUGACUUGGACUACUCUGUGGAGUAGAAGCUGAAGGGAGCCGUAUCGUUGUUACGGGACGAGGCUUAUCAGUUAUGUGGACGCCCGCAGAAAGAAAUUCUUGAAUCUGGUGCAAGGAGGUAAAAUAGUUGCUGAGUACGAGGCUGAGUUUCUGAGGCUGAGCCGGUAUGCCGUGGGCAUAGUCGCUACGGAAUAUGAGCGAAGUGUGCGCUUCGAGGAUGGUCUUAGGGAUGACAUUAGGGUGUUGAUUGCUCCGUAGAGGGAGCGGGACUUUGCGGUCUUGGUGGAGAAGGCAAAGAUAGCUGAGGAGGUAAAGCGUGCUGAAAAGCAGAAUCGGGAGAAAGAUUGAAACCAUUUUUUGAGGGAUUCAGGACGUUCGGGUGGUGCUAAUAGAAAUGUUAAGAGAGCAAGAGUGGAGGAACCAGUUCGAGCAGUGCCAAUGAAUGUGGUUAGACCACCAAUCUGUGGAGACUGAGGGAAGGUACAUUUGGGCGAGUGUAGGAAACGUUCUGGUGCUUGUUUCAGAUGCGAAUCCAUGGAGCAUAGAGUUAAGGAAUGUCCACAGGGAGCUAAUCAGGCUCAGGUUGCUGUACAAAGGGUUGCUCAACCCAUGAGAGGUGGACCACAACCACCGAGGUCGAGGGGCACCUGGCAGGGGUGCCAAAAAUGCUGAAGCUCGAUAGCCAGUGUUGGUGUAUACAGCUCGUCGUCGAGAGGAGGGCAACGUACCUGACGUCAUAACUGGUACGUUUUUGGUUUUUAGCAUGCCGUAUACUAUUUUGGUGGAUAUUGGAUCUACUCAUUCCUAUGUUGCAUAUGCCAUAUCUGGGUCAUUGGGUGUGCACUCUGAGAAGAUUGUGAGUGGGGUAUCUGUGCUAAGUCCUUUGGGUCACUCGGUUAGGGUAGACAAACUGUAUAGGGAUGUACCCUUAGAAACUCAAGGUAGGAUUUUCCCUGGAGAUCUGAUGGAGUUACCGUUCGGAGAGUUUGAUCUCAUUCUAGGAAUGGACUGGCUUGUUAAGCAUAAGGUGACUUUAGAUUGUGCUGCUAAAUGAAUGGUGUUAAGGACCACGGAGGAUGAGGAGGUUAUGGUGAUAGGUUAGCGAAGGGAUUAUUUGUCCAAUGUGGUAUCGGCAUUAAGAGCCGAAAAGUGGAUUCAGAAAGGUUGUGAGGCCUAUUUGGCAUUUGUAAGUCAAUCGGAAGAGGAGGGACUAACGAUGGAUAAGGUCGGGACCAUAAAAGAGUUCCAAGAUAUUUUUCCGAAAGAGCUUCCAAGAUUGCCUCUGAACCGAGAAGUUGAGUUUGGAAUCGACUUGUUGCCUGGAACGGUGCCCGUGUCCAUCGCACCUUAUAGGAUGGCACCGAAGGAGUUAGUGGAGUUAAAGGCACAAAUUCAGGAUGGAUAGGGGCUUCAUUAGGCCAAGUGUGUCUCCAUGGGGAGUACCGAUGCUAUUCGUGAAAAAGAAGGAUGGUACGACGCGGAUGUGCAUCGAUUAUCGCCAGUUGAACAAACUGAUGAUUAAGAAUAAGUAUCCACUGCCAAUGAUUGACGAUCUGUUCGACCAGCUUAGAGGAGCUUCUGUAUUUUCCAAGAUCCACCUUCGAUCUGGUUAUCAUUAGUUAAGGGUCAAGGAGGCAGAUAUCCAUAAGACGACAUUCAGGACUCAGUAUGGUGAUUACGAAUUUCUGGUUAUGCCAUUUGGACUGACGAACGCUCCUGCAGCGUUUAUGGACCUGAUGAAUCGUGUGUUCCAACCAUUUUUGGAUCAGUUCGUAGUCGUCUUUAUUGACGAUAUCCUGGUAUAUUCUGAAAUAGAAGCGAAGCAUGAUGAGCAUCUCCGUAUAGUGCUGCAAGUGUUAAGGGAGAAGGAACUUUAUGCGAAGUUCAGCAAGUGUGAAUUUUGGUUGAAGGAAGUAACCUUCUUAGGACAUGUGGUCUCUACUAAGGGGAUUAAGGUGGACCCUCGAAAGAUUGACGCGAUUUUGGAGUGGAAGCCGCCUAGGUCAGUGUCGGAAAUACGAAGUUUUCUAGGAUUGGCAGGAUACUACAGAAGGUUUGUUGAAGGUUUUUCUGUGAUGGCAGCACCUCUGACAAAACUCAUAAGGAAAGGAGUACCGUUUGUAUGGAUUAAGAAACAGCAGGAAGCUUUUGAGAAGUUGAAGAAAGUUCUGACUAAAGCACCUGUGUUAAUUUAGCCAGAGUCUGGGAAGGAUUUUACUGUGUACAGUGACGCAUCACAUGUAGGUUUGGGCUGCGUGUUAAUGCAAGAGGGUAAGGUGGUUACAUAUGCAUCACGACAACUUAAGCCUCACGAGGGGAACUAUCCUACUUAUGAUUUGGAGUUGGUGGCAGUGAUAUUUGCACUUAAGAUUUGGAGACAUUACUUGUACGGAGAGAGGUGUAUUAUAUACACAGACCACAAGAGUCUUAAGUAUUUGUUGACUCAGAAGGAGCUGAACCUUAGGCAAAGGAGAUGGAUUGAGUUACUUAAGAAUUAUGACUGCUCGAUUGAGUAUCACCCAGGCAAGCCUAAUAUGGUAGCCGACGCUUUAAGUCGUAGAACUGUAUCUGAUCUGAGAGCAAUGUUUGCUCAUCUGAGUCUGUAUGAUAAUGGAAGUCUGUUGGCUGAGUUGCAAGUAAGGUCGACCUGGGUGGAUCAGAUUAAGGAAAAGCAGUUGAACGAUGAGUCUUUGGUCGCUCGUUUUCAACAAGUUAAGGAAGGGGAAACUUCUGAGUUUGGGUUAAAUGGCGAAGGAGUUCUGUGUUUCCGAGGAAGAAUUUGUGUUCCGAAGGACUCUGACUUGAGGCAGGCAAUAUUGAAGGAAGCUCAUGGGGGACUUUGUGCCAUGCAUCCUGGAGGGAAUAAGUUGUAUCACGACUUACGAGAAUUGUACUGGUGGCUAGAACUUAAACGAGAAGUAACGGAGUUUGUAGGUAAAUGUCUGAUAUGCCAGCAAAUGAAAGCUGAGCAUCAAUUACCUUCUGGACUAUUACAGCCAGUGAAGAUACCACUUUGGAAGUGGGAGAGGGUAACCAUGGACUUUGUGAGUGGGCUACCCUUGUCACCAUCGAAGAAAGACUCGGUGUGGGUGAUUGUGGAUAGAUUGACCAAAUCAGCCCAUUUCAUACCUGUACGUACUGACUUUGCACUUCAAAGGUUUGCCAAGUUGUAUGUGGCAGAGAUUGUGCUACUUCAUGGAGUCCCAGUUUCAAUUAUCUCCGAUCGGGAUCCCAGAUUCACAUCUCGGUUUUGGAAAAAAGUUGCAUGAGGCAUUAGGAACGCGAUUGAACUUUAGUACGGCUUUCCAUCCCCAAACUGAUAGUCAGUCAAAAAGGGUUAUUCAGAUUCUGAAGGACAUGUUGUGGGGAUGCGUGAUUGACUUUCGAGGUAGUUGGGAGGAUUACGUGCCGUUGGCAGAAUUUGCGUACAAUAAUAGUUACCAGGCGAGUAUUCGAAUGGCACCGUAUGAAGCACUGUAUGGACGAAGGUGUCGUACCCCUAGUUGUUGGACUGAACUAGGAGAGCGAUAAGUUCUUGGGCCAGAGUUGGUAGCUGAUAUUGAGGAUAAGGUCAGAAUAAUUAGGGACCAGUUAAAAGAAGCAUCUGAUAGGCAAAAGUCGUAUGCAGAUUUCAAGCGUAAGGAGAUUGAGUACUCAGUAGGUGAUAUAGUCUUCUUAAAGGAUUCUCCUUGGAAAAAGAUAUUAUGGUUUGGUAAGAAGGGCAAGUUGAGUCCGCGGUUCAUUGGGCCUUAUCGGGUUUUGAAGCGAGUAGGCCCAAUAGCUUAUCAAUUGGAAUUACCUCCAGAGUUAGACAGGAUUCACGAUGUAUUUCACAUCUCCAUGUUAAGGCGUUAUCGUUCUGACCCUGCUCAUGUCGUGCUAGUUGCAGAAAUUGAUGUUCAAACUGAUUUGACCUUUGAGGAAGAGCCUGUGCAGAUAUUGGCUUGAGAUGUUAAGGUUCUCAGAAGGAAAUCUGUCCCAUUAGUGAAAGUGCUUUGGCGUAAUCAUGGCAGAGAGGAAGCUACGUGGGAGCCAAAAGAGGCGAUGCAACAGCAAUACCCUCAUCUGUUUGAAUCAGGUAAAUUUUGAGGACGAAAUUUCUUUAAGGAGGGUAGAGUUGUAACGCCCCAAUUUUUGGGAAUUCUGUGUAUGUUGGAAAAUUUAAAAUUUCUGUGUUUUGUCUAUUUGGCGUAGGUUUAAUUAUGUUAGUGGGCCUCUAGAAGACCCAAGUUUAAGUUAAAACUCGGUAACUUUAGUUAAUUUUAGUUCCAUAGGAAAAAGGGGUUCUGGUUAAUUGGGCUUUUAAAUAUUAAUUGGGUAAAAUAAAACACAAAGAAGCAGGUGGCAAAGUGGCAUGUGACGCCACUGAGAAGGCUAUAAAAGUGGCAUGUGGAUGCUAGGGAGAGCUGAGGUUCAAGUCACAAUGACAGCAUAUUAAGGGAAUUAUUUUUUAUGUUUAGAAAGGGUAGGCAAUGGAACUCAAGUAAAAGACUGUCAGGAGGAGUUUGAGUUGCUCAGGUGAUUGAGUAAGGAGGGGAUAAGGGAGGAGAUUUAGGAGCUGAUAAGGGGAGAAAAUCAAGGAAUCUGAGUAUGAAGUAGGAGUUGGCCGCAUAGGGGACUCUGCAAGUGCUCAUUUGGCUAGGGCACCUUAUGUUGGGAAUUUUGGCAUUUGGUCUAGGGCUGCCGAAUUCUUUUGUAUUUCGGGACUAGGUUAUUUAGUUUGUUCUGCCAAAAAUUAGGUUUCUCUUCUCUUUCCUUUUAUUUUUGCUAAAAAUCGAAUACUUCACCUGUGCCGACUUCACAACCACAAAACCGAAUUCUCUGCUCAUCUUUUCUUUUUCUUUUAGCCGAACCUAGAAACCCCUCACUGUGUCGUUUUCUCCAUAGCCGAAUACUACCUCUUUUCUCAUCCUUUUCCUUCUUCUAUCUUCUCUUUUCCUAAUAAUCGAACUCAUACCCUUCCUUAUCUGAUGCAUUCAUUAUUGUUACCAUCUCCCAUAUUCUCCAAGAGUCGAAUCUUGUGGUAGCCGAACUUCUCUUCUCUUACUUACUUAUAAAAGCCGAAAUCUAUAAACCUGUGGUGGAAGAAGCCGAAACUUGGGUUGUUGGAAUCUGUUUCUUCUCAUGCGUACGGUAGAUCGGGGUUAGGACCGUGGAUAGGUGCACUCUUUUAAGCCGAACAACGAUAGGUAAGUUGUUGAAAUAAUUUGCAUUAAUCAUACAUGUUUUAAGAAAAAGCCGAAACCCUUAAGGGGGGCUAACGUUUGGACUAAGGGCAUUAUGCCUCUUUUUUUUUUGAAUGUGUAAGCAUUAGCAUGAACAAGGGAGCGAGCAGUGAAGGACUUGAAGUCUAUUCGUUUGGAUCCUUGGAUCUAAUCCAUAUUUCGGCAAGAAGGUAAGAGCAAUAGGGUUUUAGGCAUGGUUGGCCGAAUAUGGUAAGAGGUUAUUACAUAGUCAUUUUUGAUAGUUAGAUUAAUGUGUUAGUAAUCCAAUUGUAGGCAGUUCGUCUGUGGAUCUCGUCAGCAUAUCGUCGCAAACAGGUGUGUAACUGACACCCUCUUAUAGACUAGAUCGGCAAAAGCCGAAAAGCUGAAAUACCGAAAAGCCGGUAGUUUGAGAACUCACGAGUGUGCGAAUGAUCGUGAGAUUAAUAGUUUGAUGCAUGUGGUAAAUUAAAGUGAUAAGAUUGCAAAGUGCACGAUUCCGUGCAUUUCGAUGUUUUUGGGCUUAAUGGGCCAAAAUCGGGAUAGUGGGCCAACGAGCCCAAUUCGGUAAGAAAAUACGGUAAGUGUUUCUGGUCAUACGUAAAUGGCUAUGUUAUGCAUGGAAACCGUAAGAAUAGUGAAAUUACUUGAAUACCCCUAUGUAUGGAAAUUACUGAUAUACCUCUAGGUGCAAAAUUACCAUUAUACCCCUAGGGUUACUUUUGUCUGAAAAGCAUGAUGAUUUAAUUUUGUAUGAUGUAUGCCAUGAUUGUAUAUCUGCUGCAUGGGGACAUGGGUUAUAUUAUGGAGGAUGCGUCCUGGUGGCUAUGCUACAAUUAUCUAAUCUGGUGGCUCUGCCACAUAUAUCUGUUCUGGUGGCUCUGUCACAAUUAUCUAUUCUGGUGACUCUGUCACAUUAUCUGUUCUGGCAGCCAUGCUGCAUAUUUCUAUGGCGUGUAGCGGUUGGGUGGGUCGAGUAGUCUCCCAACAUGGUGAAAGGUUGGUAUGGGGUGCAUGUGGUUUGAUAUGGGUUGGGUUUUGCACAAACAUGUGAUAUCUGUUCUGUUCUGUUAUGGGCCUAUGGGCUCUAUUCUAAUUUCUGUUCUGGGCUAAGGCCAACUUAUUCUGUUCUCUGUGGUUUGAACCGAUAUAGGCUAUGGUUGGGUUAAUUUACACACUGAGUUUCCCCAAACUCACCCCUUUAUAUUCAUCCACGCAGGUAAUCCCCAACCAUAGUGGGCUUGGAGCUGUGAGGGAUUCGGAGUGGCCACACGUUCUGCAAGUUGAUUUUCUUCUGGUGAACUGGACAUCCUUUUUAUUUACGUUUAAAGUUUUGGGUUUUUUUUGUAAUAAGGCCGCUUAAUUAUUUUUAUGGUUUUAAUAUGUUUUAUUAAGAUAGGUAUUACUUAUAUUUAACUGUUGAAAUUGAAUAGCUUUUAGGGUGCGUUUUCAAGAACAGUAACUGAUUUCAAAAUAACACGACAACAAGUAAAGCUUUUGCAAUGAAAAUAUUUUCCAAAAUUAAUCACUUUUCUAAAAAAAGACUUAAUCAAAUUGGUUUCCUGGAAAUAUACAUGACGUUAAGGUGUGGCAAUGGCGGUGUGCAUGUCUAGGAUUGGAUUCGAAGGGAGCUUGGUACUUAAGCAGUCCGAUGGACUCACCUCCUCUUUUCCCGGUUUCCUACCUGGUGUACAGCUUUCAUUCACUUUAACCUACAUUGAAAUUAUCUUUUAAAACACUAAGUAAGUUUUUCUAGAACAACAACCUGAAAUGUUUUGAACGCUUCGAUGUGGCACAUCAGAUCCGGCCAUAACGUCUAGGCCAGGUUUGGGGUGUUACAAUUUCACUGGUAGAGAUAGACCAAGGCAGAUUAUUUUGAAAUAUGUAAAUUCACUAGUUUGCAAACAUUGUGGUAAAAGCCAUUUUGAUGAAUGUCAAUUCAAGUUGGGAGCUUGUUUUAAAUGCGGUUCCACUAAACAUUUUCUUAGAAAUUGUCCAAACUAACAUAACGACUCAGGGUAUCAAGCUUCCAAACCUGGGUCUACUUUCUAGAGAGGUAGAAAGCUGGGGAAUAGUAAAGGUGGUAUAACUGGUUGAGGGAAAA